This 55147-nucleotide long non-coding RNA is filed under the name Chlamydomonas reinhardtii. Its description in RNAcentral is "long non-coding RNA (CREI_LNC000670)". Lineage: Eukaryota; Viridiplantae; Chlorophyta; Chlorophyceae; Chlamydomonadales; Chlamydomonadaceae. The record is from RNAcentral.
UCCGCAGUGGCAGGUGGCAGCGACACACUUGGGGCAAUAGGGCAGUGGGGCAGUGGGGCUGGCCAAACCGCCUCCGUGUUUGCAGCGGUGCUGCUGCUCUUCCCUUCCGCCCCGGGUGUGUCGCCCGCUCACACACUAGCUCGCUCACUCUGUACCUUCCCCCUCAGGGCGGCUCCCGCGAGCGCUACGCGGGCACUGAGUUCGGUCCCUCCAACCUGGUGGACAAGGAGAAGCUGGACAUCGUGGUCAGCAGGUGGGGGGCCGGCAGCAGGGGGGGAGGGAGGGGGCGGGGGGGCCUACGUAUGAUGAGAGCAGCAAGAGGAGGCAGCAAGCCCGGGAGGGGGGCUGGAUGCAGGGGCGCAUGCGGAGGCUGCUGCGCGGAGGCUGCUGCGCGCUGCCCGCCUCAACUGAAGGGGAUGUCGUGAAGGCUGUGCAGCGGCCGCCGCAGCCCCUGCCCGUACCGGUACCACACCCCGCGCCCCAACACACAGCCCAACACGCCCUCACCUCCACAUCCUUUCACACGCCCCAUCUCCCGCCAAACACACACGCACGCGCACACACACGCACGCACACACGCACUGGUCUCCCCCCCCCCCGCACAGGGCCCAGGUGGACGCGGUGGUGCGGCUGGUGGCGGCCAGCGCCUACACGGGCGAGAUCGGCGACGGCAAGAUCUUCGUGCACCCCGUGGCGGAGGUGGUGCGCAUGUGAGUGGCGGGGGCCGGGGGAGGGAGAGGAAGACAGGUACAGGGCGGGGAUGGGGCAGGGGGCGGGCGGGGGCGGGCGGGGGCGGGCGGGGAUGAGAGGCCAGAGCGGGGUGGUGACGCCCAUGUCCUAGGCAAGCUGGCGCACCGAGGGGAGGGCUGGAGACGGGAAUGCUGGCAGGCCCAAGCGGCCUGGUACCCAAGUACCCACCUUAUUGGUGUGGGCGGAGCGAGGGCAGGAACAGGGACGGAGUGGGGGCGGGGCCAGGGUGGGCGAGUGCAGGUGUCGCGGUCAGGUGGGUGGUGGGGUGGGUGGUGGGGUGGGUGUGCACCAGGCGCUGUGAGAGCUGUGGCGGGGCCUGCAGUGCGGUCGGGGGGAGAGGAGCGGGGUGCGGGGCGGGACAGGGCCAAGGCACCCGCUGCCAUCUGGCCACACACGCCGUCACCGGGCCAGACCCCGCGUCCUCGUCCCCUGCUCGACCCGCCACCCCCUUGCCUUCGCUUGUCCAUUUCGCUGACUGCCGACACCCGCCACACCCGCCCUCCUCUCUGGUUGCUAAUCCCUCGUUUCUGGCCCCCCUCUGUGUCUCCCCCUCGCCACAGCCGCACUGCCGAGACUGGGCUGGAAGCUGAGAAGAUGGAGGGCGGCAUGGAGGACAUGAUGAAGAAGAAGAAGUAGAGCGGGUGGAGGAGCUGCAGGCGGAGGCGGGGGGGGAGCUUGAGGGCGGGAGCAGUGGUGGAGGAGGAGUCCGGCUUGAGCUAGAGGUGGACUGGGGGACUGGGGGGCUGGGGGACUGGAGUGGGAGGCGCGUGCAGCAUACUGCACGUGUUGGGGUGAAGGGGGAUUGGCCGCAGGGUGCACGGGGCGGAGACUGUGGCGUGGGGUCACUGCGGCGGGUGCGGGCGGGACUCGAGCCGAUGACUGCGCUGGAAGCGGCGAAGGUUGGGGCGGCAGGCAGAGCUGUGGCGGCCGUGCAGGGCGCUCGGGGCAGUGGUGGGCCGCUUUGAGGAGGCCGGCACGCGGCAGGCCAGGGGUGGGACCGGGUGCGUGUGGGCGCAAGCGCGCAGGCCGCUGGAUCGAUGGGCGUGCCGGGGCGGAUCUUGCAUCAGCAGCGUGGGCGUGUGCUGGAGAUGGGCGUGUGUGCAGACCUCGUCAAUCAGUGCUGUAAAUACAGGACACCGGGUCUGCUACUGCGGCUACUGCGGCGUGGCGGAAUGCACUGAUGAGCUAUAACUGUGAGUACCGCUGUACUGCUUGGGUUUGCGUAGAUGAUGUAGUGGGCAAGGCCAGUCCUCGCGCGUUGCGACUUUUAAGCUCGCGGUCUUAGUGCGGCAAUGGCUACAACAGGCGGCCAGGUAGGGCCAAGUCAGCAGUCUCCGCCCAGUGCACGAAUACCCUGUGCAGGAGGUCUUGCAGGUGCGAGCAGCACAUCACUGCAGCCACUCCCACUGCGCCGAAGGGCCCGUGGUGGCGUGCCGCCCGUCGGGGGCCGGGUGCCCGUGACGCGUCGAUCUGUCACGGGUCGCAUCUUGCACAGCCCUGUAAUACUGAGCUUCGAUGCGGAAGCGGGCUACCUUGACCAAUCAAAUAAACACCGGCUCUGUGGGCUGGUGUAUGGUUUGGCGGCUUCAGGCGGCUUACACGUGUUCGGCGGCCUCGGCAUCGGCGGUGAGGGCGCUGGCCGCUCGCGACUGAGCUCGCAAUCGCACCCGACCGCGAAAGAGCGGAGCGGCGGGAUGAAGCUGACUCGCGCGGAGUCGUUUGAGGAGCUGGGGCUGCAGGUGCGUGCGUGCGUGCGCGCGAGGUAGGUCCAGUGCGUCCCGGGCUUCGGCCCGCUUCGGCCGAUCCCAGGGCCCCUGCCAGCGCUGUGUCCGCCGUAGCUCUGUGCCCUCGGCCCCCCCUUUACUGGAGGCCACCAUUCCCCUUUCCCGUCUGCGGCAGCCUAGCGCCGAUGUUGAGGAAGUGCGGGCGGCUUACAAGCGACUGGCACUGCAAUGGUAGGUGAGGCAGAGGGCAAGGCAGAGGGGUGUGCACGUGCCCGAGCCCAACAGCAUGCUCGCAGCAAGCCCGUGCUUGCCAUUUGGGCCGGGGCCCCGUGUGUCCUUCCGCAGCCACCCCACUCCUCAUCGGCAUACACUCGCUCAGCCAUCGCUCGCCCCCCCCCCUUGUGAGUUAACCCCUCCGUUGUCGACAUGAACGGCCCGCCCCCCACCGGGCAGGCACCCCGACAAGCACCCUCCCGAGGCGCAGCAGGCCGCCACCUCCCGCUUCCAACGCAUCAGCGCUGCCUAUGCCUGCCUCAGCCGGGUGCGGGGGUGCGGGGGUGCAUGUGCGUGGGUGGCGCCGCAACCGAAGGGCUUAAGGCGAUGUGACAGGGCAAGGGAAGCGUAGUCGGUGUCCCGGGAAACAAGUCACGCCCGGCCCAGGCGCCGGUGAUGCAUGGAGGAAGACACGUCACCCGGCGCCACAGACUGCCCGAGCCCCCGUUACCAGUACCGCGAGGGCUUGAGAGGUCUGGGUUUGCCUAGCGUGCGCCGGCUCCAGGGCACAAGCAUGUGCAAUUGUGCAUGCUCACCUGCUGCGGCUGAAGUUGUAAUCCCUUGCAUCCCUUCAUCCACCCGGCUAUCCAUCCCCUGUCCUUGCCGCGCCACAGCCUCUCCACGGCGGCCCCGGCGGCACGGGCGGGUACGACCAGGGUGACGACGACGACCCUGGCGACGGCUUUGCCGAGUUCAUGGCGGCACAGAUGCGGAUGCGCGAGGCCGCCAUGUUUGCAAGGUGGGGGGCCAGCUGCGUGCCUGUGGUGGUGUGGGAGGUUGACUGAUAGAGGCGCGGCCCGGCACUGGGGUGGGGCCAGAAAGUGAGCACGCAGGGCACUGUGAGGGAGGCCACAGUCGGGUGCGGCUGGUUCGAGCCGGCAGCGGUGGUGCGGAGAUGAGGUCGUCAUGCGGUGAUGGCGGUGAUAGAUGCCGGAUCGAGGUGAUGGCGGGGUGCGGCGGGAUACCGUGUAUACAGCUGCGCUGCUAGACGGCGAAUGAGGUGCAGACGCCCGGACGACGUGCCCCAUGCAGGAUGUUCGGCGGCGGGCGGGGCCCGCGCUUCCCCUUCCCCUUCCCGCCUUUCUUUCCCUUCGGCUUCCGUGCCCGGCCGCAGCCGCCGCCGUGGGCCCGGGGCGGCAGCUAUGGCUAUGGCAGCGACAGCGACAGCGACGACGGAGGCUGGAGCAGCAGGGCCCGGGGCCGGCCCCACAGCCCGCCGCCGCCGCCGCCGACGUCCAAGGAGGGGCUGCAGGAGCGGUGGCGGCGGGCGGUGCUGGCACCACAGGCGCGGCCGGCGGCAGUGCGGCAGGUGCGCGCGGCGGUCCGUUGGCUGCUGCCUGGUUGUGGGUGAGGUGGUUGUGGGUGAGGUGGUUGUGGGUGAGGUGGUUGUGGGUGAGGUGGUUGUGGGUGAGGUGGUUGUGGGUGAGGUGGUUGUGGGUGAGGUGCCGGCAGCUGGCUCAUAUGAGCAUGAGCAUGCGGCGCCGUACUCAUGACAACGACACAGCACCACACGCCACGCUGACCCGCACUCCCCUGGCUCUCCCCUGGCUCUCCUCCCGUCACCUGCCGUGUGCCUCGCUCCCCGCGGCUGCGGCGGCGCCUGACCUCGCAGGUGGCCUCCGGGCCCUCCUGGCUGGAGGUGGAGCUGGGCGGACUGCCGCCGCCGCCAGCUGACCUGAGGCGGACUCGCAGGGUGGGCAGCUGGAAGGGGGACCACUGGGGUGUGGCAGCAGGCCUUGAGCGCAUGCGCUAUUGGCUGCGUGACCUGACCUGGCGUCUCCUGACCUGACCGCGUGCCCUGCCCGUGUGUACCGUAUGCGUCCGCCUCACGCACGCACGUGUCCUGUGCCCCCCCUGCAGUCGGACCUGCCCACGGGCCUGGCGGUGCAGUACGCAUCGCGACCCCUGCAGCAGCGACAGCAGCAGCAGCAACAGGACGACGGAGGGCCCGGGGGAGAAGGGGCGGCGGCAGCGGCGGCAGCAGAGGAGACACUACACAGCGGCAGGCAGCAGCGGGGCGGCGGCGGGGGUCGCGGCAACAAGGCGGGCAGCAAGAGCAAGGGGGGAAAGGGGCAAAAGCGGCACAAGGGCGCGGGUGCUGCUGGUGCUUCUGGUGCUGCUGGUGCCGCUGCGGGUGCGGGUGAUGGUGGUGGCGGUUGGCGCAGCUGGGACAGGGCGGAGGUGCUGUCGCAGAUGCGGCUGAGCGGCCUGGACCCAGGUGGGUUAGCAUGGGGGUGGGGGCUGGGGGUCUGUGAGAGAGCUGGGGUGAAGCCGCAUGUAUGAUAGCAUGAGUGUGUGAGUUUUGACUUUACAGUGUGCAAUUGUGGCUCCCGUGUCCCAUCUGACCCACAUGCACGCACUCACACAAGGCCGCUGUGGCCCCACCUGUGCGCACCCGACACACACACACACACACACACAGGCACGGUGUACGAGGUGCGUGCGCGGCUGUGUGUGACCCGCACACACACCUGGAGUGACGCGGACGAGUGGAAGCCCUGGGGCGCAGUCGUGCUCAUGACCACGGCGGGGCAGGCGCCGGCACCACCGCAGACAGCGCCGCCGCAACAGCCGCCGGCGCCACGGCCGGUGCCGCCGCCUGCUGGUGGGCAGCACGAGCCGCAGGAGGGCAGGUCGGGUCCGGCGCAGGGGGCGCAGGAGCAGGAGAAAGAGGAGGCGCAGGAGGAAGAGGAGGAACAGGAGGAAGAGGAGGAGGAAGACCACGAUGACGUCUUGCGGUGGUUCCGCAUGCGAGGUGGUGCAGCGGCUGCGACGGCAGCGCAGCCAAAGCGUGAGCGCGCGCCGCCGCAGAAGCCGCGGCCUCAGCCGCCCCCACCGCCGCCGCCGUCCCAACCGGCGCCGUCAAGUCAACAGCAGCGGUCGCGUCAGGAGGAGUCGUAUGAAGAAAUCGAUGCGGAGGCCGUGGAAGAGCAGGCGGCGAGGGCAGCGGGGCGCGCCUACCCAGGCGGCGGCGGGGCACAUGCCGCUGCCUAUGCCACCAGUGGCAGCGCCACCACUGCCGCACCGCCUCCGCUACCGGCUCCGCCACGGCCGCCACCGGCACAGCAGCAGGCGCACCCCCAGGCGCACCCGCAGGCGCUGGGCAACAAGGAUUGCAGGCACGUGCGUCCACGACGCGCACCCGCGGAGUGCCACCUGGAAAUGCUUGCUCGGCCCGGCCUCGGCCCAACCCCCCACAUCCACCCGCACGCGCUGCUCCAGGCACUGCACCACGUCUCCCACUGCCUCCCAAGCCUCCCAAGUGUCCGUGUUAACCGCCGGCACCGACCCCGUCCGCUUGCCCCUGCCCCUGCCCCUGUCCCUGUCCCUGCCAGGCACUGGCUGGGCAAAGGCCGCUGCUUCAUGGGCGGCAAGUGCCACUUCAGGCAUGACCCGGUGCGUGGGGCCUGGGUGGGGCCUGAGGAGUGGCAGCUGCAUGCACUGUGCGUGUGCGUCCAUGGCGGCAUACCCAGAACCUGCCUGCGGUACGGGGCGCCAGGAACAGCAUGCUCACACAUGCGUGUCAACUCAGUCACGUGCCGCUAGCUAGCCAUCCUGGUGCCGGUGCCUUAGACCUCGGCCGAUGACCCCGCUUGCGCCUCCCCACGUGCUGCACCCGGACCCACCACCACUCAUUUUAUGCCGCUUCGCGCGCCGAGGCACACCGCACCGCACCGCACUACAACUCCCGACAGGACAAGCGCGGUGCCGCCAAGAGCGAUGCAGCGGCAGCCCCGGCGGCAGCGGGCGCAGAGCAGUACGGCGGCGGCGGUGGGGCUCACCGGGUGCACGGGGAGUAAGAGGCGCCGCCCCCCUCCUAUAACUUCGGCUCAGGGGCUUCCGGGCUCUGACGCCGACGGGGCCUGGCUGCCGCCGUCGGACUGGAGCCUGUGGGAGCACCUGCCAGUGGGAUGGGGGGAGGGCGGUGGAGCAGGCCUGCGAGGGCGGGGCGGGGCGCUCUCGACUGAACGGCUGCCGGCCCAAGGGCGGGAGCGGCCGGGCGAGUGGGGCGGCACCUAUGGCGGUGCAGUGCAGCCGGGGAGUCGAGGCCUGGUCGAGGCGGCGGCAGCGGGCAGGGGCCGGGGUUGGUAGUAGUCGUUGCUUGGAGGGUGUGCGAGGGUGGAUGCGGGAUGAGGGCUGUGCUGCUGUCUUUGAAUUGUUUACGCCGGCAGCAGCAGCAGGCGCCCCCGCCUCAGCCUCAGCUUGUGACUCCUGGCACACGUGCGUGCGGGUGUGUGAUGGGACAGGGUUUAGGCAGGUUGGCGAGGUCCCGUAGUGUGCAGCUGACGCCCAUACCCCAAGCAGACAGCAGACAGUUAGACGUGCGUGCGGGGUUUGAGGCGGCGGGACGUGUGUUGCGGUGCGGAGCGUUAGUAGUUGUGUCAGGUACUGCGUGGUGGUGAUGGUUUUCACCAUUCCCAGUUCGCUGCGAGCGUGCGGGGCGGGAGUCUGCGGAGGCGUGGCGAUGUAGGCGACUAGUGCUGCACUGCUACUGAUGCAGCGAUGGCACUCGCCGUAGCCAUCGUGGAAACGCUUUUAAUUGUGACAGAGCGUUACAGUGCGGCUCGGUUUCGUCCCCACCCCAGUGCUUGUAGUCACGCCACAUACACAUACAAUGCGCUGCACACCACGCCAACCUGCCCAUUACCCUGUCCCACCGCUCGCACUCACAGCGGUCGUGUCCGCUGCUCAGCCCCGCUGCAGCCGCUGCGGCCGCGUGCUGCCGCGCCCCCCGACCGGUCAGGCACCCAGCACUGCACGCCCUACCUCACACCGCCGCCACAGCCGCCGCCCCCGGGUUGCCCAGGCGCUCGGCCAGCUGCUCUGCACACCGCAUCUGGAUGUAGAUGGCUAGACCGUCCGCCCCCACACCACCCACACCUGCGCCCGCCCCCGCCCCCGCGCCGUCCGCCACCCGCACCAGCCCCUCCGCCCGCAGUCGCGCCGCCGCCCGCUGGCUCAGCGCCGCCACCGCCGCCAGCUCGCGCCGCCACUGCGCCGCCGUCAGGCGAGCCCCCGCCCCCGCCUCCGGUUCGUCGUCCUCCGCGUCCUGCCGCUCGGCCUCCCCCGCGCCCUCAUGCGCCUCUGCCCGCCGCGCCUCCUCCUCCGCAUGCCGCCAUCCUGCCGCCGCCAGCGCCGCCACCAGCAGCGGCAGCCCCACGCGGCCCGGCAUCUGGCUGUUGAGCCGCAUGCAGCGCAGGCCCCAGGCCCAGUGCCCGCCGCCGCCCUCCUGGCCCUCCUGGCCGCCCUCCUGGCCGCCGCCGCCCUGGGGAUCCUGGUCGCCCAGCAGGUAGCGCAGCGCGGGCGAGGCCAGCACCUGGUGGGGUGGGGGGGUGGGGAGGGGAGGUGAGGUGAGGGGGGAGGCCGAGUGGGAGCGGCAGGGUGAGAUGCUUGGGAUAGGGUGGGGUGGUUGAUGGCGCGUCGGGUGGGCACAUGAAGAGAGGGCGGGCGGGCGCGAGUCCCGCUACCCUGUACGGUGUACGGGACCAGUCCGGCACACCCACCGGCGGCGGAGAGUCCUUCACGCCCCCAUCCAUGUAGUGCGCCGCCAGGGCCGCCAGCGCCGCCACACCGCCGCCGCCGCCACCAGCACCCGCGACCGCUGCACCGGACAGCUGCCUGCAGCGUGUGUGACAGCAGGACGUUGGGGGGCAGCCGGGUGAGCAUGCGUGCAUGGUGGUGCAGGCCGCGACUCCCAAGCCAAGUGAAGCAGCUGACAUGUCCAUACCGGUACAUAUGCCCCGACUCAUAGACAUAUAUAUAUAUAUAUAUAUAUAUAUGUGUGUGUGUGUGUGUGUGUGUGUGUUAAAGAGCACAAGGAAAACAUUACGCGUAGGACAGUGUGUGUGUAUGUGUGUGUGUAUGUGUGUGUCCACCCCGCGGCCCUGCACUCACUCCUCCGCCGCCUCCACCACCAGGUAGCUCAGCAGCCGCACACAGCUGGCGGCAGGCAGGCAGGACAGCAGAGCCUGGGGGAAAGGCGGCGUGUGUAUGGUUGUGUUUGUUGAUGGCUGGGUCGGUGGGCAGUGGGUUGGCACGUGUGUGCAGGGGCGUGCAGGGACACCAGCAGCGCAGCAGACACAGCAGGCGCCGCAUCCCUCGCCAGUGGCAUGUACUGGCAGACAUAGCCCCUGGGCUGUGCUGCCCGCUGUACCUGGUGUUCUACUCCCCUUCCCCCACUACGCAACCCCUUGCACCCUCCCUCCCUCCCUCCCUCCCUCCCUCCCUCCUUCCCUCCCUCCCUGCCUCCCCCCCGCCUACCUGCACGUUGUCAGGGUUGCCGUACACGGCCUCCUUGCCCACCACCUUGGCCAGCCGCCGGUCCAUCUCCACCCGCUCAUUGCUGCGGCGUGAGUGUGAGUGUGUGAACGCGUGUGUGGUUGUGCGUGCUUAUGUGUAUGUGUGCAUCUGCGUUGACUCAUGCGCGUGUGCCGGUAGUGGUGGGGUCUGUCACGGUGGUAGUGGAGAAGGCCGGACGGUGGCUGGGUGGGGCGGGGCGGAUGGUGGUGGAGGGGGGCAUGCCCCACUGGCACGUGCCGGGGCCGCAGCGUGCACAGCACCCAGCUGAUCUGAAUGGCUCACUCGCACUCCCGUCCCCGGCCUGCCUUCCCCUUCCCCCUUGAGCCACCCCCCUCUGCCCCACGCAGCGCGCCACUCACUAGGCCACUGCCGCCGACCGCCGCCGCGAGUAGCCGUCCGCCGCCUCCAUCGCCGCCAGCCCGCCCGCCAGGCAGCCCAGCAGCCGCCCAGCCAGGCGCCCCACCUCGCCCGGGCCCCCCGCCACCAGCAGCCGCGAGGCCACCACCGGCGGCACCGCCACAACGCCCCCAGGUCCGCCGGGCCUUGCCCCCGCGCCGCUGCUGCCAUGCCCGCCCGGCAGCGGCAGCACCGCCCCCGCCCGCGCCCCCAUGGCUCCAUACACGGCUGUGGAGGCCAGCAGCCGCACCAGCUUGGGCUUGGCGUUGGUCUCGUACUGCCAGCCCAGGUUGAGGUCCGCGGUCUGGGCAAGGCCAAGUAGGGAGUGGGGGAGGGUGGGUGGGCGCCGUGGACACAGGACGCGAGGCGCAUUGGCAGCAUUAGGUGGCAGGGAGUGGGCAGCGUUUGCCCGGUCACGAAUUCCGGUGCUGUGCGGCAUCCGGCAUUGCAGCAGCACCGCCGGCCCCCACCGUUUGCUGUCUCUCAUCCCCAUCCCUAACAACAGGUGACUGCCUCGCGCCUGCCUUGCCCCUUACUGGCUCACUGCAUGCUGAGAGCACCCCCCACGGCUCUAAGCCCCAACCCCCGACCCCCAUCCCAUGCGGUACGCACCUUGAGCAGCCGCAGCAAUAGGCUGCCAUCCACCGCCGCCCGCGCCUCCGCCUCCUCCGCCUCGCCGCCUGCCUCCGCGGCCUCCUCCGCGCGCCCCCUGGCCCCCAGGCUGCUGUGUGCCGCCUGCAGCCGCACCUCCAUGUCGGCACACAGCAUGCGGACCCAGUAGCGCAGCAGCAGCAGCUGGCCCACGUCCCCGCACUCGGCCGCGUCUGGAGGGGAGGGGGGGGGGCAGGGCGAGGGGGAUGGCGGCGGUCCUCUUCAGGGCAGGUGGAUGGAAGAAGCAGAGGUGCGCUGAUGGUGCUCUGUGUGUGUGAGUGUGUGUGUAUGUGUGUGUGCGUGAUUGUUUUAAAACGGCACGCAGAUGAGACCCGCCCAAAUGCCGGAUCAUUUACGGAUACCCAUCAAGCACCAAAAGGAUGAACACGCCGACUGCUCUUUUGUAGCCAUAGUUACCUCCGCUCCAAGUGCGCCAUAAACGUGUUUCGUGUUUCAUGUUUCGUGUGUGUGUGUGUGUGUUUGUGUGUGUGUGUGUGUGUGUGUGCGGUGUGUGUCACACUGCAAGGGGUGCUCAACCCGCAAGUACACCCCGCUGCCCCCUGCUGUUGCCUGCCCAACUUUCCCCUGCUCACCCUUGUCUGACGCCCGCGGCAGUGCCGGGUGCCCGGCCGCCUCCACCGCCCGCGCCACGCAGUUGUGUGCGCCGCCCGCCAGCAGCAUCAGGCCACGCAGCUGCUGCAGCCCGCGUGCCAGUCGCGGCAGGCCACACAGAGGAGCGCGCGUCCAGGUGCUGCGGAAGCACCAGCAGGGGCGUGUGUGUGUGUGUGUAUGUGUGUGUGUGUGUGUCCGGUGGGACAGAAUCAUGGGAGCGAGGGGCGAACGGCAACAGGCGGUAUCGCUGUGACAGGUGCGGCAGCAAGAAGGGUCAUGGCUCACCGCAAACGCAGCAACGCGCCUAUGCAGCGCCCAUGCAGCUCCCAGCCCGCUGCGCCCAGCCCGGCCGCACUCACCCCGACACCGGCUCCCACAGGUCGGGGUUCACCUCCAGGUGGGGCCGGCGCGCCGACCCCGCGCCCCCUGCCCCACCACUGCCCUCCUGCUGCUCCUCCUCGUCCUCCUCAUCUCCGCCUUGGUCCCCAACACCUUAACGGCAUCGGCAAGCGGGACAUGAGGGGUGCAGUAGCAGGGAGGAAUGCGGGUGGAUGCCAAGAGCCGGGGACCAGAGCACGUACCGCAGGCGGCAGCACCACCCAGCUGCCACACGCAGCUCCCCCUGCUCCCGCCCCCCUCCCCGGCCUCACCUGGCUCCGGCGUGCCCCCCACCCCCACCAGGCGCACGGGCGGGUGGCGCUCCAGCAGCCGCUCCAGAAGGCUGGGGGUGUGGGGGAACAGGUGUGGGGGAGGAGGUGGUGUAGGGGAGCGGGAGGUGGGGCUCAGGGCGCGGAGGCAGGCGUAGCCUAAGGAGUGCGGGGACAGGUCGCGGGGGCGGCGGCACAGCUGCUUCCCACUGGCACCCGGUGCUGGCGGUCUGGUCCGGGGUCCGUUUGGGGGCGCGCCCAUGUGCUGAGACCCCUGGACUCAAUUCCCACUAACCGUAUCACGACAACCCGAAAACCCAGUACAUAUUCAGUUGUUACGCGCUUUUGUGUCCCCCGUGGAUGGCUGCCCCCGCCCGCCGCCCCACCUGAGCGCCCUGGCGGACAGAUGUGUGCGGUGCGCCUCGGCGUUGAGCACCAGGUGCAUCAGGGCCUCCUGCACGUGCCUGGGGGGCAGGGGGGGAGUGUGUGUGUGUGUUGAGGGGUGGGGGAGCCAGAGCGGAGGGGGUCAGGGGCGGCUGACAGGGCGGUCAGGCGGGCGUGGUGCACCGCGGGCCGGCAGAUGCAGGUGCGGGUGCGGGUGCAGCUGCGGGAGGCAGAGGGUCGCGGGCAGCCACCUGCCGAGUCUCCCUACGGGCCUGCGGGCCUCCGGGCCGGCACAAGGACAAACACACCCUCUGCAGUCUGCACCCACUGCGCCCCCCCCCCCCCGGCGGCACCCACUUGGGCGCGGCUGUGUCGGGCGGCAGCAGCAGCGGCUCCAGCAGGUCCAGGCAGUGGUGGCCUGCAGGAGGAGGGGGGGGAGGGGUAGGGAGAAGGAUGGGGAGGGAGGGUGGACGGGUAGGUGGGGGGGGAGGGGGGAGGUGGAUGCAUAGGGGCCGGAGUGAUGAGCGUGGUGGUGGUGGUGGUGGUGGUGGUGGUGGUGGUGGUGAUGAGAAGUGGUGACUGGGCCGUGUCUGGUGCCUAUGACCCAGUGCCAGCAGGCGGCGUCACUUUCAAGGUGCAAGCCAGGUCACCGGUCCCCUCGCACAUAGCUCACCGUUCUCCUCCCAGACCCUCGCCGCCUCCGCCGCCGCCGCCGCCUCCGCGCCGGCCAGGGCCUCCUUCACCGCGCCACCGCCCGCGCCGUCGUCGUCGGCCGCCGCACCGCCGCCGCUGUUCCCCGCCCUGCAGACCCAGACCCACACAUCACGGCUUAGUCACGCCUGCUAGUUACCGGUAGCACCUGUGCCUGCAACAAGGGCAGCUGUCCACGCGGCCAUGACACCAGGCGUCACUUGAGGCGACACACCGCAUGACGGUGAGUCGCCCGCGCACCCGCAGUGCCAUGGAAGCGCAGUGCCGUGUCCCACACCGCAGCCUCACGGCCCAGGACCCCACCUGCCCCCACCCAUACAAAACCCCAGUGCCCCACCUGCGCCGUUCACUCCGCCGGGCGCCUGCAGCUGAGGACCCCGUGCCACCGCCGUCCUCCGCAUAUCGCUCCAGCAGCGGGCUGGCGUUUGCGUACUUCUCGUAGAGCUGCCACACCGUCUGCAGCGCGGCCUCAGUCAGGACCCGGUGCACCUGCUGCCGGACACCGUCCCCGCCCCGCACGGCCUGACGCUUCUGAAUCUUUUCAUUGCGCUGCGACAGCAACGGGGCAAGGUUCCGGCGACCGUCGGUCAGCUCGCAGACAAGGUUUGGACGUUGAAGAAUUGAGCGCCAACUUCAGCAGUGCUCUUGGCAAAACCGCAGAACAAUACCUGCUGCUCCUGGAUAUUGUUAAAGUUUGUAGCUCGCGUUGAUUUUCGCCGUGUCGACAUUUCUGCUUUGGCGAAAAUUUGAAGUUGACAGAGUUCACCGGCACAGCCUAUGAGUAAGUUUGCCGCAGCAGUAAGACAUCUAAGCUAUAUAUGCGUGCUGUGUUUCGAGGUCGAGACGUUGGUAGGGAUGACAGCCAAAUGACAGCCAGCCGCACGAGGCCUUGCCAGCCCCCCACCACAGGCCACCACUAGCGGACCGCCAUGCGAUCCAUGGAGCGUGCCCCUAAGGGCGUCAAGUGACAGGGGACGCAAUGUACAGUGUUAAAAUGCCGAGCACGAGAGGAGGCUGGUGUAGAAGUGGCGACUGAAGUCUGAGUAUGAUCUGAGUGCCAGAGUCGUAACAAACGUUGGACCAAAGGUACUGCGGAUGCUGGCGUGCGCACAACCUCCAGGACCGGUGACCGGGUCGGGGUCGGGGUCGGGGUCGGGGUCGGGGUCGGGGUCGGGGUCGGGGUCGGGGUCGGGGUCGGGGUCGGGGUCGGGGUCGGGGUCGGGGUCGGGGUCGGGGUCGGGGUCGGGGUCGGGGUCGGGGUCGGGGGAAUUGGAGUCUGGGGAAAUGGGAUCCAAGGGACGCAAAAUCGCUCGUUUUCGCCCGCGCAGCUUCUAAAUACUUACGUAUUUAUGUAAUAUUAUUAGCUGGGCCAACGCCCUGUCAAAUUGCGAGGGCGCGCGCGGACUUCCCCCGCGUGCCUGCAUCUCGGCCCCGCACCCUGCCGAACCAACCCCCCCCCCAGCACCAAAACCCGUCAUACCGUCCCCCACCGCGAGAUACAGACUCCACUAUAUAUAAGUAAAAUGUGAUCUGGGUGCCGGUGCUGGGGGGUCGGGGCUGUCCGCCUGGACGUCGGACGGUUGGACGGCGCGAAGUAAGUUCAAGUUCGCCCUUGCGGCGAAACCGUUCAGCCUUACACGUUUUGCAAAUAUAAGAAUAACAUAGUCUCAGCUUCAUAGGUCUCACGUUGUGGGGCAGCCAGCACGGCACUAAUAAGGACAGGUGCUCGCACUCGCAGCUUACGCGCCUACGGGCAUCCUGACAAAUACAUAAGUGCUAAGAUUGAAGCAAUCUACGUAUCUGAUAGUUACCUUGGACCAGCACCAGCCUGUGCGAUGAAAUCGGCCAAAGAAUUGUCUUUCUUGAGGCAUCGGACACCAUUCUAUGCGUUAGAGUGCGCUAAAUAUGGUUUAGCCUCAGUUACUUUCGUGAUCGAGGUUCCCUGGCUCGAGUCGGGUAUCGGAACUUUGUCGCUGGGGCCUCUUCUACCUUGUGUACAAUAGCUUCGUGUAAUGGAUGGCUUAAAUAAUGGCUAUGUGCAGUCGGCGGGGGCCGGGAGCGUGUGUUUGCCAACUUGACAGGGGCCCCCCCUUUCUGAAGUGUAUAGGUGCGCCGCGCCCCCUGCGGGGGCCGGGGCACGCUAACCCCCCGCCAGCCCUCGCCGACCGGUAAGGCAGGACGGGCACGUGGAUGGCAGGGAGACGCAUACCUACUGGCAGCAAGGGGCAAGCGCAGCUUGAGAUGCCGAUUGACCGCGACACCUGGCACCGCACGUCGUACGAACUGCACGUACGGUAAUUCCCAUAAGCUCGCCUCACUUGCGGGGACGCGACCAGUAAUUCCUGUAAGCACCGGCGCCUGCGCUCCUCCCUACGUCUGUCACAUUCUGUUCGAGCCUCUCUGUACGGUAUGGCAACCUGUGGCCUUCAUUCAGCGCGACAGUCUCUCACGCCGUCAUUCCUUGGCCGCCUGCCGGAGUGCACUCCCCGCUCUCACACCAAGACCUCCCCACCACCCGCCGGGUUCGGCAUUUGCCACACGGCGCGCCUUGAAGCCGACACGCCAACACGCAGGGGCCUGACGCAUCAGCACACAGUUCCCGAACCAUGAAGGCAUCAAGCCCAAAGGCCACCCAGCGCCCCCUCCACCACAGCGUCCAUGCUGCGCUCACUGGCAGCAGGCGCCACAACGGGACAGCAGAACCUGGCACGUGCUUCAGUACGUAGCAUGUACAACCACUCAUAAUCGCCCGCCUGUCGGCGCGCCUCGCACCUCGCACCUCAAUUCAUGCCCAUGAUCGUGCAUGAAUCAAACUCCAAUUAUAUAUGGUCCCGCCUGCAUACCGUAGCGUCCGUUCGUAGUAACCUCCGUCUCGAGUCUCUCAUAGUCUCAUGGCCAUGGCACAUGGCGCAUGGCAUAUGCCGCCGUAGUUAUCAUUGCAUGCGAAUCCACCAGCCCUAUCCUGGCUGUAAUGCAUUGAGCCGCAUUGAGGACCUUAUUCAGUGUGUGUCUUGCACCCGAGGUCUAUCACGCUUUCGCCUGAUCCUGUAGUCUACUGCCGAGCAGGUGGCCCGCCUCUACUCUGACAUCCCGUCCUCCGCCUCCGCCGCCUCCACCGCCCCACUGCUGACCUCGCCCACGUCAUCCCCACCCCCCGCACGAGCCACAGCCCGCUGCUGCGGAUGCCGCACCGCGCCCCCGACUCCUGCUGCUGCCGCCGCCGCCACCGAGGGGCCCUCACCGGCACGCCGCACCUUGCCCGCGGCACCACCUGCUGCGCGGCCGCCCGCCCCGCCGCCGCCACCGCCUGCACCGCUAGUCUGAGCCUCGUCGGCCUCAGCGCCACCCUGGGUGCCCUCAGCGCCGGUCGCGGCCGCGCCGCCAGCCGUGAUGCCACCUCGUGCCCCCUGCUGCUGCUGUCGCUGCUGCUGCUGCUGCUGCGGGCGCUGCUGUGCCUGCUGUGCCUCUGGGCGCCGUCCGCCACUGGCCGCCGAGGCCGCCCCGCCGCCCGCCUCACUGGCCUCGCCGUCGUACUUCCGCUCCACCUUGCGAGCCGGCCGCCCCGCGCCACCACCCGCCGCCGACGUGGUCGCGCCGCCGUUGCCGCUGGUGCGGUAGUGCGGCCCCGCGCCGCCAGUGGCCCGGCUGACGCCCGCCUCGGAGCGCUCCGGCUGCGCGCCCCCUCCGGCCCGGCGGCUGAGGCCGAAGCCCCAGCCGCUGGCCAUGGACUCGGUAGCGCCGGUGUGUGUGCUCAUGGUGAGGCGGUUGCUGCCGCGGUUGCUGUGCUGCUGCCGGGGGGGCACCGUCUACAAGGGGAUGGGGUGGGGUGGGGUGGGGGCAGUCAGCAACACAGCCAUAUAGGGUGGGGGCAGUCACACCGGACAGGGACAGAAACACGCGGUGUGUGGUGGCGGACCGCAGGAGACUGCAGCAGCACCAUUAUGAUAAGGCAGAGGCAGGAGCGCCCCCCCCCCACUUUAAAGCCGCACCUUGAAUGCGGACGGCUGCAGCAUGCGUGUGGCGGCCAGCAGCACCUCGGGCCUCACGCCGCCGCCCAUACCGCCCGGGCCCAGGCCGCCCGCCACACCCGACGCCAUGAGUGCUGCCGCGGCCGCCGCAGUGGCGGGGUCCAGUCCAAGCGCCACAGCCGCCGCCGCAGCCAUGGCCGCCUGGUUGGCGCCAGCUAGCGCAGCCGCGCCCUGGCCCGGGGCGGCUCCCGGAGGAGCCCCGCCGGCGGCAGCAGCAGCUGCUGCAACGGCCGCUGCCUGCUGCUGCUGUUGCUGCUGUUGCUGCUGCAUCAUGUACUUCUCGCGCUUCUUGAGGGGCGGCAAGGGGGGCGGCGCACCGCUGCCCGAGCCCUCGCCGCUGCCGGCAGCCCUGCGGACACGGUGAGCGCCAGGACCACACACUGUUAGCCCAGGAAGGCGAGAGCAGUAAACAGCCGGGCAGGUUGCAGCCCCAUACCUGGUGCCCUGCCCCGUACCUGCCUCCCAAAGCUGCCUCCCCCAUGCAGUCAUGCCUCCCCGAUGCACCCCGCACCACACCACACCCACCUGGGCGCAGGCACCAGCGACUGCACCAGCUGCAUGUGCGCCGCCAGCGCGUCACCGGGCUGCAGGCCCGCCGUCGCCGCCGCCGCCGCCGCCUCGUCGUCGUCGUCCUCUUCGUCGUCCUCCACCACUGCCGGCGUGUUGCCCAGGGCCUGCGCGGCAGUAGCGGUCAGGGCGGUGUCGCGGUGUGCGCAGGGUUGUCGGAGCCGCACAGCGUGCACGGGCCACAACAACGCACCAACAGGCCACGCCAGUCGUCUACACCCUUCCUCCCUGCCCUGGACCUGGGACCUGCCCGUCCAGGCCCGUGUGCAGGUGGGGCCCGCAACAGGUCCUCCCCGCACCUCACGCAUCCACAUCCGCCCUUUCCAACCCCACCCUUGCACACCUGUGGGUCCACCAGCCCCAGCUCGCCGAAGGCCGUGUUGGGGUCCUGCCACCACUUGGUGGGGCCCACAGCCGGCACCGGCACUGCAGCAGAAGGCGGCGCCGCUGGAGCCCCUGCCACACCCGGAGCCCCUGUCUGCAGCUCCUGCUGCCCCUGCGCCUCCAGCCCCUCCGGCUGGGAAGCGCUGGGCGCCUGGUCCUGCGGGGCCCCCGCCUGCAUUUCCGACGCGGGCCUCGGCUGGUGCGGCUGGCCCUGUCUUGCAGCCGCAACCCAACCCACAUCGGCGCUGGGGCCGCCGCGUGCCGCCGAGGGCGCCGCCUCAGCCUCCUCAGCGCCCUGCCGCUGCUGCGGCUGCGACUGACGCUCAGGCGGCUGCUGGAGCGCGCCGGUACCUGUGACCGCCGCGGCACUGCCGCCGCCACCGCCCACGACCCGCUCCGUACUUGCAAUGCGCUGCAGUGAGCCCGGCCGACUGCCCAAGCCUUGGCUGGGCGCCUGUGCCUGUGCCUGUCGGCUACCGACAGCUCCAGCGGCAGGCCCCGCAGCCCCAGCCGCCUCUGCCGCUGCUGCUGGUGUGGCCGCUGCAGGCUGGGCGGCAGCGGGCUGGGCUCCGGCUCCGGCUCCGGCCACAUGGCGGGCAAACCAGGCCUCAUGUGGGUCGAUGGAUGCGACUGGGCGGGGCACUGGGAUAGCGGGGGCGGGCACUCCGGGCGGUCGCAGCACUGGGGGCACCUGUGAUGAGUGCGGGGCGGCGGCACUGAGGCUGAGAGACUGAGCAAGGUUUCGCAUACGGCACUGCAACAGCAGGUUCGUACACGGUACUGCAAGAGCAGGUUCGGUUCAACGUGGUGCAUGGGGUUCCACACAUCAAGCUCGAGGCACAGCAAAGCGGUCAUGCGGGGCGGCGCACGAGGUACGGCACCCGGGGGGCAGGUGCCCUGCGGAGCAGGUCAACCCCCGUCAGGCCUACCUUGGUCCCACCGGCUCCCACUCCCGCCCCCUGGCGGCUGGAGAAGAGCACGGGCAGUGCGGGCGGCAGCACUCCGCCAAAGCCGCCACCAGGAACCGGCGCUGCGGGGGUGGGUGCUGGUGCAGCCGCUGACUGCGGCUGCGAGGUCCCAGCCGCAUCAAGAUGCGGGACUGGGGCCGCGGCUGACGGCCCUGGCUGCGGCAUAGGCAGCGGCGGAGUGCCAACGAGCGGCGGAGGCACCCCUGGCGGCCUCACCAGCGGUUGCGGCUGCUGCGGCUGCUGCAGCGGCCCCCGCGGCCCGCCCGCUGCCACGGCCAUCGGGGCGCCGCCGGGGGGUGGAGCGCCCGGUGCACCGCCCUGCAGCGGGCCGCGCGCAGGCAGUGCCCCCAGCGGGCCUGCCAUGCCGGGCGGCAGCUGCCCGUGCAGCGGCAUGGCCAUGUGCAUGUGCGGCGGCAGCUGCCCGUGCAGCGGCAGGUGCCCGUGCUGCGGCAUCGCGGGUCCGGACCACUGGGGCGGCAGGUCCAUGUGCAGCGGCUGACCGGGCUGCGCCGGGUGCGGCGGGGCGCGGAAGCUGCUGCCGGGGCUGCCGAACGCCCCAGCGCCCGCCGUUGCUGCCGCCGCCGCCCCCGCAGCACCCAUGCCGUGUGGCGGAGGCCCCACGGCGAGCCCGGCUGCGGCUGCGGCUGCGGGCGGCAUUCCGCCCAGCAGCGCGUGCGGCUGCGCCAGCCCAGGCCCCGCGGGCAGUGCGUGCGGGGGCAGUCCGAAGGCGGCUGCGGGGGAGGGUGGGUGCAUGUGCGGGUGCAUACUGGGCGGCGGCAUAAGGAGAGCUGACGCCUGUGGCCGCUGCGGCAUGCCGUGUGGAGGAAAGGGCGGCAGCACCUGGUGCGGACUGGGCACCGCCGCCGCGGCCCCGUCGGGCAGGCCGAGCCGUGUCGCAGGCUGGGCCGCGUGAGGCGAGGGGGGCGCCUGCAGGCCAACACACGAGGGCGUAAGGACGCAGCAAAAGGCCUGCCGAGACGCACAGCUCCUGCAUUUACACGAGCGAUUCAGCUACCUAUUGAACUUUUCAUAACCACUCACCGCUGUGGGCUGUUGCCGGAAGGGGCCCGCCUGGCCAACUGCCGCUGGAAUGCCUCCAUUCGGGCCUCCUGCCACACUGCCGCCGCCACUACCGCCGUUGUUCCGCUGCUUCUCUGCCGCCGCAGCCGCCGCACGUGCAGUCGCCUGAGCCACCACCUUCUGUACCACCGUGGGCUGCUCGCUGUCCGCCGGCCCCUCGUCGCCGUCCAUCAGUGUGUACAGCUUGGAGGCGGCGGGUCGGACCACCGCGUUGCCGCCGCCACCCAGCCCGCCGCCGCCACCCACCAUGGUGGCUGCGGGCCGCGGUGCGGGAGGCGGCGGCACUGCCGGCCGCACCAGCUGCUCGGGCGGCACAGAGCGCAGCACCUGCAGCGGCGAGGGGUGAGAGCGCAUUGACUCCGACCAGUGGCACUGCAUUGCAUGUCUGCAUGUGUGCCUGCCGGAGCAACCACCUAGUGCCACCCGGAGCCACCUGGGCAGGACAUGGGCCGAACCCGCCACGCACAAGCACAGGAAGCCCACGCCCCACGACUACACGUACACGCCAUGCCACAUCCCGCCCCGCCUGCCUCGCUCACCCUCUCUCUCAGCCCCCGCGGCAGGUUGAAGAGCAGCUGCAUGUCGCCCAGCAGCCGCACACGCAGCUCCUCGCGGCUCAGAGGCGGGGCGGCGGGAGGCGGCGGGGCUGCGGGCGCCGAGCGCUGCGCCCCGUGAUGUGGCUGCGAGGACGUGCCGGCGCCGCCGCCGUACCCGCCGGCUGCCUCCACUGCGGCGGACGCCACCACGGAGCCCGCCUGGGCCUCGUGGGCGGUGGUGGCGCUGGUAAGCUGGUAGCCCGCCUCCGCCGCACCCGCCACCGACGCCAGGCCCGGCCGCUGCCGCUGGUGCUGCUGCUCGCCGGCCGCCACACCGCCGCCCUCCUGGCUCUCGGGCGUGGCCGUGCCCAAGCCCAUGUGCGGCUGCGGCGUCAGGGGCCGCUGCUGCUGCUGCUGCUGCUGCUGCUGACCGGGGGCCGGGGGCGGCGGCAGGCGCAGAAUGGGUCCGGCGGGUCCGGCCCCCGCAAAGCCGGCCUCCAUGCAGGCGGCCUGCAGUCCCGCCGGGUCCACCACAAGCAUCUCCGACCAGAUGACCUGCACGGGCGGGCGAGGGGAGCGUGUGUGUUUAUGUGUUGAGAGGGUAGCCUGGCAUAUGAGCGCCGAGCGCUUGACGUGACUUGGGCACACAAGCGAAGGCCCUCGUGGAACAGCGCGCGGGUCCAACGGUGCGCAGCACCACUACCUGUGCCAGGCCCGGCCCUUCCCUUCUCCCGUUCUGCCCCCUCUCUCCCUGCCGGCUGCCGCCCCAUGCCUCACCUGUUGCACCCGCGCUAUCUUGUGCAGCUCGCCCAGCUGCAUCACGAACACCGACUGCUGCCGCAUCAGGGUGGCGCGCACAGCGCCGUACAGCGGGUCGCCCAGCAGGUCGCGCAGCGCGGGGCCGCCCGCAGGGGCCGGGGGGCCCGGCGGCGGCGGCGGCAGCGGGCCGCCAGGACCCACCGGCCCCGCACCCGGCGGGAAUGCAGGCGGUGGCGGCAUCAUCAUAUGCCCGCCGGGGGGUGGCGGCGAGAACAUGGGCUGCUGGUGCUGCUGGUGCUGGAGCUGGUGCGGCUGGAACUGGGGAGGCAACUGCGCCUGCUCGCCCCACGGCUGCGGUGGAGCGGCCCGCAGGCUGAGGCCAGCCGCAGCAGCUGUCACAGCGGCCGCCGCUGCCGCUGUGGUCCCGUCAUUGCCCCUUGUCGGGAAAGCAACCCCGCCGCUCCCGUCUCUACUUCCACCUCCUGCCCUGGCAACGCCGUCGUCUGCACCUGCCGCGCCGACAGCCGCCUCUGACGCCGGCAGUGGACUGGCGCCCAUGCGGCCGCCCUCCCCCUCCCCCUCCCGGAAGCCGCGGCCGCCUGCCUGCAUGCCGGCUGGCCCUCCCUGGUGCUGCUGCCUCUGGGAGGCCGCGCCGCGCUGCUGCGACUGCGACUGCGACUGCGAGCUGCUGGAGGUGAGCGGCGUGUCACUGCACUCCGUCUCCGACUGGCCCUCGCCCUCGCCCUCCGCCUCCGCCAUAUCCGUGUCCGGCUCCCCGCGGCGCCCCGCCUCCCUUCCAUAGCCGCGCACCUCGCCGCGGCCACCGCCCGCUGAUCCAGCACUGCCCCGGCCCGCCUGCUGCGCCUGCGUCUGUGCCUGUGCCGCGGUGGGCGCCUGCGUCUGCUGCCAGCGCAUGUCCACCUGCAUCGCGUCAGAGCCGGCAGCUGCGCCGCCGUUCGACCCCCCCUCAGCCAGCUGCACGUCCCGCAUGCCACUGCUCGCAUUCUCACGACUGCCGCUGCCGGCGUCCGACGUGCCAGAGCGGCCCGCGCGCUGCCUCUGCUGCUGGCGUGCGUCCUCAGCCCUGGCCGCACGUGCCGCCGCGACCUCGUCCGAGAGGCUGCGCCGCUGUGCCGGCGCCCCCAGUGUGGUGGAGCCGCCGCUGCCGUUGCCGUCCGCGCCGGUCACGCCGCCGCCGCCGCCACUGGCCAGGCCGCCGGAGGUCUCGCUACCAUCCAGCGGUCCCCCCGGUGUGGCCCCGGCGGCUACGGCCGCGGCCUCCAGCGCCUUGGCACAGUGCGGAGGUCCCACCUCCUCCUCCUCCUCCCAGUCGUCACGCCGCCGCUUGUAGCCGUCAGCCCUCACGCCGGCGGCGCCGGCUGGAUGAGCUGGGCCGGCAAGCCUGCGGCCCCCACUUGGAGGGGACCCGGUACCGCCGCCCCCCAAGGACUUGUCGUAUUGGCGCGGGCUGGCCGCCUCCGUCGUGCCUCCGGCGCCCGGUGGGCUGCAGCCCGCACUGGUGGCGCCGCUGCUGGCCUCCGUGCUGCCCUCGGUGACGGUGCUGUAGGACUCACCCGACGUCUGCUGCACCUGCGGCGCCUGCAGCUGGCGAGACGGCUGUGGCAGCGGCUGCCUCUGCUGCUGAGGUGACGGGGGCCCAUGGCGAUCGCCACUCCCUGACCCGUUGCGAUAAUGAUCGCCCGCGGCAGCAGCGGCAGCAGCAGCAGCAGUAGCCAUGUCGCCUACCUGCCUACUGCUUUCGGGCUUGACUGCAGGCGCCUGUGCAGCCGGCGCAGACCUGGCCAUGCCGCCUUCGGCCUGCGGGGGUGGCAGCUGCAGCGACGGAGAGCCCCCUGCUGCCACUGCAACGGGGCGCCUCACGAGUGAUGGCUGCGGCAGUGCAUACUGUAGGGGCUGUUGCAGUGGCGGCUUGUGUCCCGACAGCGCUGGUUGCUGCUGCUGCUGCUGCAUGCCGGCACCCAGCAUGGCGCCAUUGAGGAAGGCGCUGGCGGCGGCAGGCGGCAGGCCGGGCAGCAGGGCCUGCUGCUGCAGCUGCUGCAACUGCUGCAGCUGCCACUGCUGCAAUAGCGCCACAGCGCUGUCCCCACCGCCUGCCGCACUGCCGCCGCCUGGACCCAGUGCCAUGUGCCCCGGCGGCCGCCCGCCUCCGUACGGCACCGGUAGCGGCACCUGAAGGCCGCCCACGCCCGGCACGGGGCCGCCGGGGCCACCGAAGAAGGGCGGGCCCGCGGCGCCUGGCUGCGGCAUCCCAGGUCGGCCGGUGCUGGCUAGCAAUGGUGCCGCCGCCAGCGGUAGCUGCCCAGGCCCCAUAGGCCGCAUGCCCCCUGACGGCACGCCGUGCACGCCGGGCGGCGCGAGGCCUGGCACGGGUCCCGCCACACCGCCCGCCGCCAUGAGGCUGCUGAGCGCCAUGAGCGCCCCCGAGGCCGCGGCCGCCUGCUGCGGCGCCUGCACCAGGCCCGGCAGCUGCGGGUAGCGGCCGGGCAUUUGCGGGAAUGACGGUGGCAGAAGCUGCAUCUGCCCGCCCGGCCCCAGUGACAGCGAGUUCUGCGAGGUCUGUGACGUCCCUGCCGCCGCCGCCUGAAGCUGGCGGUGCAGCUGCAGGUGCUGCAGCACUGGGGAGAUGCACGGCGCCACACCGCCGCCACCCUGGCCAGCAGCCAACUGCAGCCGCUGCUGCUGCUGCUGCUGUUGUUGCUGCUGCUGUAGUUGUUGCUGUAGCUGCUGUGUCUGCUGCAGUAGGUACUGCUGGAGUGCCUGUUGGUGCUGCUGCGCCGCCGGCGCUGCCAGCGGCAGCUGCGGCUGCGGCCCUGACAGCAUGGCGCCGGAGCUUUGCAGCUGCCCCAGCAUGGCUGCAGCCGCGGCGGUUGCACCCGCUAGGCCCGGGGCGAAGACCUGCGGAGCACCCGCUGACUGCCCCAGGUGCGGUCCUGAGCCGGCAGGGAGCCCGCCUUGCGGCUGCUUGGGUACCGCGAGCUGCGACUUGCCCACUGCGCCUGAGCCAGCAGGCAUCUGAUUAUCUGGUCCCAUGUACUUCAAGCCAAUCCAGCUCAGUUUCGCAGUCCCGGAGCCACAACUGGCGUCAGAGAAGCCCGGGUCAUCUGCAGGCUUCCCGCGCCUCUGCGCGUAUGUCCCUUAAUUUUGUAGAUAGUUGAACCUCUUGAAAAAGACUUAUUCUUUAAUCAAGAAGCCGCGCCAAGGAGCGUCGAGCCCGCAGGAGCUGACCGGACAACAAUUUGUGCGGGCAAUUUUGGGCACGGUUCAAGCCACUCCUAGCGCUGUGGCUACACCAGUGUUCAAGGAGCUACCAGAAGGCUGCACUGCAGACUGCGGCGCCUCAGAACGGCCGCGACAGGCGAAAAGACACACAACGAAAGCGACCCCCACUACCUAGCGAAAGGGCGAUCUGCAAUAAGUGCAUGGUAUCAUCAGGAAGUGAAGGAAGGCUGGGCGGAGUCUGUCCAAAUAUCUGCUGGCAACCCGAAUCGCAAUGGGGUUUUUGGGCAUUUCUGCUACGCUCGUCCCAUGCGUCAGCUGGCUGCCCCCGCGCAGCCCUAGCAGCUGCUGGUCUGCGCUCCCCAGUGCCGCAACCAGUCACGUGCCGCAUGCUGCAUCCUACCUGUGCUGGGCGCGUGGCCACGUGCGUGUGCCUCGGGCUGGGGUUGACUGGUUGAGGGCAACUUCGCCCACCCAGGAUGGGGCCUGCCUAUGGCAGAGUCCUGGGCGUGGGUGCGGGACUGCGGGUGAUGUGUGGACAUGGAUGUAACUGACGAGGGCUAGCCGAGACGGUGUUGUCAUCGGCUACUCAUCGCGGCAAGUACAAACGUGAAACGUUGGUAACACUGUGGGGCGCACGGACCUCUGCAACACGCUGGCCUGCGACGGCAUGGUCAGGCAUGGUCGAGAUGUAUGGCACUCUUUCCAUGUUUGGAGUGCCACCGUUCCUGGAUAUUGCUGACCUGCGUACCUUUGAAGACAACCCUCGCAGCGCCUUUUACUCCUGCUCCUGCUUUGCUGCAACUUUCCUGUCGCUGGCCAGGUGAUAGCGGCGGUGUGUGAUGGGCAGGAGAUUGCAUUGGUUGGGUAUCGGUCAGCGGGUGGGCGGGCGGGAAUGUCCAUCAGCCCGCCUCAGCAGCAAUGGCUGCAAGAGGGUGGCCGAGCAACUGGCCUGCGGCACCUGUGACUGUUAGGGCACCGGGCAGGUGUUUACCUUGUACAUAUACAUUAGCGCGGGUUCCUGCACAAUGCGCGGGACACCCUGGGCCUGGGCCUGGGCCUGGGCCUGGAGGCGGUGCUGGCUGGUGCUGGAGGCAGCUGGGGAUGCGGCGGGACGCCGGCAGUGGGCGGCGGCACGCGCCGCGCUGGUGCAGGCUUACAAGCAGCAGGCGGCGCGGGCGCUGGGGCUGGGCGCUAGCGCCGGGGCAGUCGGGGUGAAGUCCUGCAGCGGGCGUCGGCGACCCGCCAGCUCGCCUGCGAUUGCGAGGAGCCCAGCCGUAAAACUUGUGGCCUACGCCAGGGGAUGCGGACGAGCCGCGCUAAAAAGAAAAAGGUGAGGGGCUGCGAGCUCGGAGUUUACAGUGCUGGUGUUGCACUUGGAUGCCCGUGACGCCCCAUAUCGGCGUACAGCUGACGCGCCCUGUGCAUGUGCGCCCUUCGCAUUGCAUGUCGCAGAAGGGUGUGGUUUGUCCUGUUUGUCCUGUUUGCGGGGUUUAUUAUGGUGCCUUGCUGCGUGUUGCCUGCGUACCAGACUGCAGCCAAGCCCACGUAGCUCUCUGCAUUCAUGCCCACAUGGCCCAUGCCACGUGCAGUACCGCCGGGAUGAGCCAUGCAGCCAUCGCGCUGUCAUCACUAUUACGCGGCCUCCCCGAUUCCAGUACUUGCAUUGCCACACGUAUUCAUUCCUCCCCAUUUACAUACUUGCUUUCCGCUCCGUCCACUCCGCCUCCAUAGUUCCGUUCCAGCCCGCGCCAGCCCCAACCGCAGCGACAGCCAGCCGCCCAGCCCGCGGUUACUUGCUGUGCUGUUUUGCUUCCUGUCUGGCCCGCUGCUUCCUUCCCGGUUUCUUACGCUUCCACUCACUCCCUCCCUCACAUGUGCUGCUGGACGACGGUGGCGCUGGUGUUUUCCAGGUUGGUUUCGGAUGCCGCGCGCCCCGCAGCUCCGCUCCGCGCCAGCCCGCCAGCCGUCCGACAGCCUAGCCAUCGCAACCUGGUUAUAUCAGUGAUGGGUCGGCGGCGCUCCUCUAUUGCCCGUGGCGUUUACCGUCUGGAUGAGGUAACAUGUCUGCUGUGACCGCCUCCUGCUAACCGGCCUUCUAUGCGUGCUAGCGACUACAACUUCUCUUCGUGUCGCGCACAUUCGCGUUCGCAUUUCGACAGCACUCCGCUAAGGAGGGAAAGCAGGGCUAAGUCGCAGGCGCAGGCGCAACCACAGGCACUAGGGGCACCGGGCGGGGCCAAGCCGCCGCUGCAGCCUUUCCAGCCUUACUGGUUCGCUGUCUCAGUGUCUCACCUUCUCGUAGCGCUGCUGCAGCUGCAGGUUGCAUGCACCGGCAGCCGCCCCAGAUGGCACAGGAGUCAGGAGGGAGCGGUGGCAGCAGCUGCGGCUGCAGCCACGGCCGCGGCGAUGGCAGCUGCAGCAUCGGUGCGGGGUGUGGCGCGGGAGGUGCGCACCCUGGUGGUGGUGAAUGAGACCAUGCAGCAGCCUCAGGCCGGGCCGAUGGCGGGGCUGAUGAUGAUGUGCGAGUGCAGGGGUGUCACUGCGCGGGUGGUAACUGAAUGGCAUUUCCAGCAAGGAUGUGUGCGCACCGGUCGUGGUCCGUCGUGGCGACGGCGGCCAAGAAGGCGGCCAAGCGAGAGCGGGUGGGAGCAGCACCGGGUGGCCAGGGCGGCCAAGAUUGAGCGGGACAAGGAGCCCAUGGGGUAAAUGGUGAGCUCGGAUAGGCGAAGUGGGUGUGUGUUCGUGUCACCGUCUACAGCUGCCCACGCACUCUUGAACGGUCCAUUCUAGGUUGCGAUAAAAUACAAGCACGAGACAUCAUUGGCGUCCCGCUGGAAGCCAGAGAACUGCCUCGCUUCUCCCCACGUUCAUCGAAGCAGCGAUUAGACGCGUUUUGUUCUUCCUUUGCCCUACUACCCUAAACUGCUAUAGAUAAAUACAUUCUUGCUGGCGAAACAGGACAUACGCGACCUUGUCCCGACAACUCUUCAGCGCGAAGUUUCUAUGUAAAUUGCUUCCACCCUGCCAUGCUCACCAUUAUUGAGCUUGUCGUAAACUACUGAUGGCUGUACAAGAAAGCUCUUCAGAGGCCACGCCAUCGCCAGACCCUGAACAAAACGAGCAGCAAAUGGAGGAGCCAGCAUCUUCUGGAGCUGCCGGGGAGCCACAGUCGGCGGGGGUAGAGUCGGGGCAGCCCGGCGCGGGGGGCGGACCGGACGACACCGUGGAGAGGAGUGGCCCCAGUGCGCUGGUGCCGCGGAUUCUGGCCCGACCGCCGCGGAAGGCCAAGCCUCAGGGCGUUCGUGUGCUGGAGCCCAAGGAGUCCAUGCGGAACCGACUGCGCAAGGCCCUCGCGCCCUACCUCACAGCCACGUACUGGCAGGUGGGCGGAGAUUGGCCGAGAGUGGGGCGGUGUCGUAGUGAGGCUGGUUUGGCGGCACCCAUAGGCGCCCACGCGGCACCAAGACCACAUAUCUAGGCGCUCUCAAAGCUCGGUGCCUGACGCCCGGUGGUCCUGAUGGCGGCUUGGGCCGCAAAGUACCACACAGGGCCACACAAUGCAUACCGGGGGGCUCUGAACGUCCCCCGAUAGGCAACCGCCUCGGGCGCCGUGUCCCACGCCCUGCCCUGCCCUGUCCCCCCUGGACCGCCACCCGCACCUCCACCUCCACUUCUCACUUCCUCGCCCUCCUGGCCUCGUGGCUGCAGGGCGAGAUGGCCAGGAAGUUCACGGCCGAGUAGUGAGUCCGCCGAGGCCCCCCGCACCCGCACCCGCACUGGAGCACCUACUCUCUGCUGGUUGGGGGGAGGGAGGCGGAGUAGACGGGGAAGGCGAGGGGAUGGGCGGACGAGAGGCCUGAGGCUCCGAAGGUAUGGACGUUUGCGCACUCCCUGACCUGUGCCGUAUGCACCCGCUCGCGUGCAGCAUCGAGGCGCACCCGCCUCCCGAGGACGAGGUGGGUCAGCGGGCGGGGCAGUGGGUUGCAGCUGUAAAAUGGAAGGCGCACGGCGGCGUGCGUUGUGGCUAGUGGGAUAGCGGUGGUGUCGUAAUGGGUGCUGGGUAGUGGGUGAUGGCUAUCGAGUAGUGGCUUGUAGCUAGCUAAUGGGCGGUGGCUAGUGGAUAAUGGGUGGUGCGCCACCCACAGGGUUAUGCAGGACUCAUACCGGACCGGAGCAGAGCAGGAGGAGCAUGUGCCGCCGUACAUUGAGUGGGCUAGCUGCUCCGACUGUGAACCAGGCCCUCCCUUCAUCCCCUAUCCCAUAGUACUAUCACUUGCAACUAACGCCUCUACCUGUGCUCCGCUCGUGUUAGCUUGGUUAGUUUGGGCUGGUAUAUACAACCCCCCCUCCACCCUCCGCACUGCCCUCAGGACGACCUGCCCGCCUACAUCGCGCAGCACCUGCGUGAGCUCAACCGCGUCACUGAGCGCUGGAGCGGCUGUGUGGUGAAGGCGCUGGACCCGCUCAGCCACCAAAUGGCCAUUGACGACCGACUGCAGGUGCGCGGGCCCUGCCGGACUGUGUAUGCGAGGUGGGGGUGUUAUGUGCCCGAGCCCGACGAUUCAAGUCCCAUAAUCAUCAGAAAGCCCGCUCAAUAACGACAGUGCGGGGCAAGCGCGCCGGAAAUGACGUUCAGUCUCGGCCAUGUUGUGGUGGCUGUGUGGGUAGUGAGUAGGGCAUGUCCAGCUGGGUCACUGGGAAUCUCAUAGCCAAACUGUAUUAUUGUCCGCACAUCGCCCCGGCUCGGCACAAGUCACGGUCUAUGCUGGUACUCCGAUACCAAGCCCAAAAAAUGGGGAUGUGUGGAGGGGGGCCGCGGCUGCGCUGCUGACAUACCGUGCACCGCCUUAACGCUCGUCCCUAUGUCCAUUUUCCUCGGCCGCACACCAUACCUUCCUAUGGCCGCUGUGUUGCUCCCCACAGCGCCAGCGGCAGCGGGCUGAGGGACUGCCGGUGGAGUCGUUGGACAUGGACUUUGCCAUGAGGCCGGGACUGGUGAGGGGCAGGGGGGAGUAGGGGAGAUUGGGAAGUGGGGAGGUGGGGCGCGGGUUGACAAGGGGCUUGGAGCGGCAGCUGGAUGGUGGAGGGGGGGGGGUCGUACAGGCGGGGCAGGUACAGAGACGUAGGGACCAAGUCCAGGCGCACAUGGACAUAAGUUGCUUGAUGAUACCGCGUCGUGAUCACGACCUGACCUGCCACUGCCGCCCUGCAGUCGCCUGCAGCCACCGACUCGCCCACUGCGGCGCCCGCUGCCAAGGCUGCCCAGCCGCCUGCGCCGCCUCCUCGCCCUGCUGACGAUGGCGACACGCGGCUGACCAGCAGCCAGAUCGUGUCCGCGGUACACCUGGUGUCCGACAUCAAGGUGUGGGAGGAGAUCCUGGCGGCCAAGAAGGCCGAGGAGCGCCGCCAGCACGCCAUCGCCGAGCUGCACCUGCACCACGCCGCGCGCAUCAUCCAGGUAAGGGGGGGGGGGCGAGGGAAAGCUGGAGCGGGUGGAGGCUGGGGCGUGUGUUGAGUCGGCGUGAAGGGGCACUGAUUGCUGGUCACCACAUGCCCCACGCGGCUGCAGCCCGCACACCCGUCCGCUUACCCUAAACACACAGUAUGUAUGUCAUGCACCACCCGCCGCAGCGCUCCUGGCGCUCCUUCAUCGGGCAGCGCAAGGAGGAGAAGGCUCGGCUGGACAGCCUGGUGUCGCCGGACGUGCAGGUGGGGGGGGGUUGAGGCGCAGGGGGUGGGAGGGACGCGGGAGGGGGCAUGUGGGGCGGCAGCUGCUCCGAGCGCUGUGGUUGCUCCCGUAUGCAAGGAGUUACUGCGGCGCCUCAGAACGGCCGCAACAGGCAAAAAGACACACAACGAAAGCGACCCUCACUACCUAGCCAAAGGGCGAUCUGCAAUAAGUGCAUGGUAUCAUCAGGAAGAUGAUCAGGAAGUGAAGCAAGGCUGGGCGGAGUCCGUCCACAUAUCUGCUGGCAACCCGAAUCGCAAUGGGGUUUUUGGGCAUUUCUGCUACGCUCGUCCCAUGCGUCAGCUGGCUGCCCCCGCGCAGCCCUAGCGGCUGCUGGUCUGCGCUCCCCCGCACCGCCACCAGUCACUUGCCGCAUGCUGCGUCCUACCUGUGCUGGGCGCGUGGCCACGUGCGCGUGCCUCGGGCUGGGGUUGACUGGUUGAGGGCAACUUCGCCCACUCAGGAUGGGGCCUGCCCAUGGCAGGUCCUGGGCGUGGGUGCGGCACUGCCGCGGGCGAUGCGUAAACUUGGAUGAACCUUACCACUCCGCUGCGCUCAUGCGGUCGCCCCCGCCCGUGCAGGCCAUGCUGAGUGCCGCCGCCUACAAGGCCAUGAGGGACGCGCGCAACAAGCUGCAGCUCACACGCCUGCGCAAGAGCCUCAGCAGGCGGGCGCGGGUGGGCGGCUUCGGCUCAUCCGCACGUGAGUACAGGCGGAUGCACAGGGGCUAGGGUGCUACCAGGGCAGAGGGCACAGCGCGGCUAGGGUGAGGGAAUGUACCCUCCUUUCAAAGGAGAGCCCGCGGAGUUUCUGUAUCGAUUUUGCAUCCUCGUUCCUUUUCGACCUGCUCAUGAACUAGCGCCCACUCAUGGAAUGGAACCGCACAGCCCGAGACCUGGACCGGACGGUCAAGCCGCAGCCGGGAGGGGGCGGGGGCCCGGGCGUGGGGCCGAACCCGCCCGCCGGCCGCCGGCCGCCCAAGGCUCCUGCCGGCCCUCGGGGGGCGGCUGCGGCGGCCGGUGAAGCCCGGCGCAGCAGCCGGGAUGUUUCAGGUGCUCCCUCUGGCUCCAGGUGCGGUGUGUGAGCGCGGGAGGGGGUAUGGGGCUUGGACUGAGGCGGCAGGGGAGGGGGCAGCAUGUGUAGGCGGUCAUCCCUGCGCGUGUGCGAGACCGGCACUCAGGACUCCCCUCUCACUGCAGGUCGGCAUUGGACAGCGCGGGCGGUGCAGACUCGCAGUGGGAGGGGGACGGCCGCGAGCAGGCGGACAGGGGCUCGUCGGCCGGCGGCGACAGUGCACUCGCAGGCGGGCUGAGCCGCAGCGCCUCACGCCGCACCGGCAGCGCCAACAGCGGGCGAGGCCUGGUGCGGGCGAGCUCCAGCGCAGCCCGCUCGGCGCAGAUUUUCAAACGCCUGGUGUCUCUCAAGGGGGACCCGCAGGAGGGCAGCCUCGGCCGCGGCGGCAGCGAACGCGGCAGCGACAUGGGUGGCGGCAGUGCGCUGCAGGAGGGCGGCGAGGGUGCGGGCGGCGAGGGCGAGGAGGGCUGGACGGAGGGCGUGCCGCGGGCCGCUGCUGGCCGGUACGCCGCGGCUGAGGGCGAGGAUGAGGACCAGGGCGAUGAGGAGGAGGGCGGCAACUUCGACGACAUGCAGCCCGAGCCGCUGCCCGAGGGCGAGGAGGGCGACGAGGAGGGGGAUGACGGCGAGUGGGAGGAAGCGGAUGGUGAGGAGGACAGGGAGGAGGAUGCGGACGGCGAGGGCGGUGAGGCGGCUCUUCAGGGGCUGCUGCGGCCCGAGGAUGCGGACCAGGCUGUGGCGGAGGCGGAGGAGGUGGUGGAGAUGGCCGCGGCGCUGGCGGAGGCGUUCCUGGGUGGCUUGGGCGAGCAGGACCAAGAGGGCCAGGAGGACACCUGCGAAGCGGAUGAGGAUUUCCAGGGCGAGGAGGGUGGAGCGGACCCUGGGGCUUCAGCAACAGCUGGUGCUACACAGGAGCAGGCACAGGUAGCGGUAGGCACUGCAGGUGCCAUGGCGGCCGCGGGAGCAGCAGCAGCGGGCGCGGCGACGGGGCCUCAUGUACCCAGCGCACCCAAGGCGCCACGCCCGCCGGCACGUGGCGAGGCCGCUGCACGUGCCCCGGCCCCUCGCCGUGGCGGCCGCACAUCGGCGCUGUCCAUGUCGUCCGACACCGCGGCCAUGAGGCACGUCAUUGCGGGGGCGCUUGCGGCGGCGGCGGCGCCCGUGCUGGGCCGCAGCGGCGCACUGGCCGUGGCGCGCCUGGGUCUGGGAGAGCCGCUGGCCCCGCCGCACCGGCUCAGCGGCGCGGGCGGCAGCACAGGCAACCUAGCCGGUGGCGGUGGCCUGCCCGCCAGCACCGGCGCGCUGGCAGCGAGUGGGGCGUCCCGGCGCGCGGUGCUGGGCACUGCCGCGCCGACAGGGCCGCAGCCACAGCGUGUGGGCCGGCUGCGGGCGGGCGCGGGCAGCCCGGGUGCGGACCGGGUGUCCGGGUCCGGAGCCGGGGGCCAUCCCAAGGCGCUCACGCCGUCCGCGAUUCGCGCGGAGGCAGAGGCUGGCCUCAUGGCGGCGGCAGCUGGCGGCGGUGGUGAUGGCCUUGACGACUCGGGACUGGUGUCAGCUGACUGGGCGGCGGCUGCAGCCAGUGCCGCUGCGGCCGCGGGUGCUGCGCUGGUGAGCGGCGGCAGCAGCUCGGGGCCUCUGGGUCCGCGUGCGAGCGGCUACUCCAGCAGCAGCCUGGCGGGAGUGCACCUGGAGCCGCUGGCAGCGGCCGCGUCACCAAGGGCCAGUGGCUCGGGCGCGGCAGCUCUGAUGCGCUCACCGCGGCCCAGUGACAGCGGCGUGGGCGGCACACUGCAGGCGCUAUCGCCAGCGGGCAUGCCGGACCCGCUGCUGGCUCAGGUCCGGCUGCCGCGGCAGUCGGACGGCGCCGCGCCCAGCUCGCCGUUGCCGCUGCCGCCGCUGCCCGGCACGCACAUGGCAACAGGCGACGACGCGGUGGGCGGCCUGACCGGCACCGCAGCCGCCCGCCACCAGCCGCAGCCCCGCGUGUCGGCCACUGGACAGGCGCAAGGUCCGGGAGCGGGUCCGGGCGAGGCGCUGGACGUCCUGUCCUCACCCCAGGCCAGUCCCACGGGCCACCUGGGGGGCGCUGCGCCUGUGGUGGCUGGCUACCAGCAGCAAUGGGCGAUGCCGCGUCAGCCGCAGCCGCCACUCACCCAGCAGCGCACCGCGGCGCAACCCACCCACCACCAUCCGCAGUCCCACUACAACCAUGCCGCGUACCACCCGCCGACCGGCGCCGCCACCAUGGCCUCCGCACUGCCCGAUCCCCGCAACGUCACCGCGCCCGGCGCCGUCGGGGCGGCAGCGGCGGCCGCACACAAGGACCCCUCCUGGCUUCUGCCACCCAUUGCCGGCUCCCCGAGCCGCAGCGCCACGGGACCGCCGGGGCUGGGCGCGCAGGCCGCUGCGGUGGCAGCACUGCGGGCUGGCGCGGGGGUCGGCGGUCUGGCGGCGGGAGUUGUGGGCGUGAGCCGCACUGCCUCCGACCCCUUCAUGCAGCGCCCGCACGGCUUGGUGGCACAGCAGCAGCAGCAGCAGCAGCAGCAGCAGCAGCAGCAGGCUCAGGGUCAGGGCCAGCCGCUGCGGGCCUCGCACGCGGGGGCCGCCAGCAGUGCACUGGGCGGCCCGGCCAGCCCCGGCCUGGCCUCCCGCGCCAACCUGGGGCAGGGCGCGAUGGCGGCGGCGGCCUCGGGGCAGCGGGCGCGGCGCUCCAGCCUGGUGGGUGGGAGCGUCUCAGGCGGUGUGGAGGGGCCGCUGGGGGCGCUCAUUUCGCUGUCCAGUGGCGUCGUGGGGCCGUCCGCUCACGGCGGCGCCUCGCCCGUGCGGCUGGCUGGCCGCGCGGCUCGCAGCUCCGUGGGCUCGCCCGGCAUGCUGCCCGCGCCCAGCCCCAGCCAGUUGCAGGUGCAGCACAACCGCCUGACGGUGUCAGUGGACAGCAGCAGCUACCCGCACUCAGGCUCGGUGUCGCUGAUGGGCGUGGCAGGCAGCGGUCUGCUCAUCAACGGCAUCUCGGGCGGGGGCGCCAGCCUGGUGGCGGCACGAGGCGCAGGCGGCGACACCUCGCCGCCACUGGUAUCCAGUCAGCUGAAGGGUGGUGGCGGCGCGGCGGGCGGCGCGGGGGCAGCACGGCAACAGCAGGUGCAUGCAGGGCGGCGGUGAUGCCGGUCAGCUGCGAGCAGCGCCAUGCAACUACCGUAGUCGAGGGGACAACACAAGUCGGGGUCUCGGAGGGGUAGUGCAGGGUAGUGGCACUUGAGCGCAGUGUGACCUUGUGGAUGUGGUAUUAAGCAAGGCAUUUGGUGCUUGGUAAUGAUAAUCCGUAGUGCGACGGAUGUCUGGUUGCCGCUGCAUACAAUUAGUUAUUGAAUUUGCCCCUUUGUAACUAUGGAAGGAUUCUGACCUGUGGUGACGUGUGUGGUGACGAUGUGCAGGCUCGUGGCGCUGCAAAGCGUUAUCAAUGUUAGCCACCGUAAAUUUAGCGUUUGCUUUGGAGAUACUUGGUGGCGAUGGUGGCGAGUAGCGACCAAUGGUGCUUGAUGAAUCGCCCUUAUCAAUAAAUCAUUAAUGCAUGGCAGCCAUACCGUACCUGAUGCAAUGGUGCCGUGACCUCAUCUGUGUGCCGGUAUGUCCGUGUAAUACGGUACUCGCAAUGAACACUAUAUGUGUCAGUAAUUGACGCAUGCCACAUAAGAACGGGAGCCUGGACGUACCGCCCAUCGCGAGGGGGUCCACACCUGCGCAGGCCACCGCAUCCCGCUAGGCGAGGUGGUGGCAAGCACCCUCUGGUACAUCACUAGGUUGGCCCAGCGGAUUAACCCAGGCGUGAUUUUGGCGGGUUUGCCCCAGGGAGGGCCGAGUGAUCGAGACGGCGGACAUUGAGCGUGUUGUCCAGCGGCAAGUUUAUCGGCAUUAUCAAGAGAAAGUGAGUUGAGGAACGGUGUGGGAUGUGGGUGCGGGUCCACUGCCGUCACGACUCCCGCCACCCACGACGCCACAGCAGCGCCACCGCCACGAACCAGAACACCACAAAGGUGCCGGUGGACACCAUGUCGGUAAGCUCUGUGCGAAUGAGGUGAAUACAUGUUUUCAAGUUAGCGCAGGCUUUUAGGGAGGGGGCAGUACUACGGCAAAGACCACAACCCCAAGGCAUUGCCCCACUCCUGCUGGCCCCCAAGUCGCCCCAGUGCCCGCUGACCCUGGUUAGUGUUCACUAAGGCACUGAAGCCUCUGCGCUGUGUAGCGUUGCACUGCCUGGGACUCCGACUGUACGAGAGGCGCGUGCACGUUGCGGAUGGCAUCGGGCAGCACUGGGCCAGCAGACGUCGUGCGGUAGCAGUGUUUUUUUGUGUGGGCUUGAGGACAAGAAAUCUCUUACCUGAGGCCGCAAGCGUCUACUUUAUCUCCCGGAUAUACUUAGGGUCAGUUCGUACAGGCCCGGCCCGCCAUGCGUCCAGCCGCGUCCCGCUGCCAAGCACAAGCACGCAUUUACGCAUUUCAAAGCACAGCCAGCAAUCAACCAAACAGCAGGAACUCCUCUAGCCACAACAUUCCUCACUGCUGCGGCCUACCACAUACUGUGCGGUGCUAUGCUCGCCAGCAAAGACCGCUAACCAGACACCGGCCGGCCUCAACCUGCGCGCCGGCGCCGCUUCUUGGGCAACGCCGCGCUGUCCUCCACGUGGCCUUGCUCGCCCCCUCCGCUACGCACAUGCACGCCGCAACUGCUGGGCCCAGGCCCUGCGCCGCCGCCGGGCCCCGCGCCGCUGCCGCUGCCGCUGCUGCUGCUGCUGCUGCUGCUGCUGCUGCUGCUGCUGCUGGUGGUGGUGGUGGUGGGGCCAUGCCUCACAACAGCCAAUUCUCCAUGGACGCGCGAAGUCGCUUCUCGCUCCGGCUGGAUAUUCUUCUAGCUGUGGGCUUUAGGAAAACCGUUGCCCCGGACUAUGUGCAUGAAGCAUUGAGGGAACGGCUCAUGGGACCUGCUUGGCGGGACCGGUGGUUGCGGGCUGGGCUUCGGGAGGUGGCGGGCGAGUGGACGAGUGUGGACGGGCACGUUGCAGGUUGCGGCGAUGAGCAAGUUUUGAAACCCAAUAAAUCUGCCCCUUGGUGCAAGCUUUGGAGCUUCUGUAUAGAGUACAAACCUCGCAAUACAUUGGCAGGGAGCAUAGAAGUCGCAAAUGCUCCGACAAACCCCACGGCGAACUACAAGAGGAUAGCCCGUUGCCAUCACAAGGCUACAAACAUGAGCUUAACAAUGGAAGACUGCGGCCGCGUGGUCAAGUAUGUUAUAGACUCGGGCGCAUUUGACGAUGUUCGCAGGACGGUGAGUGCUGGAGCGCGGAGGGGCGACUGGCAGGUUGUAUGAUGUAGUGUCAGCGGGCUCAUAACGCUGCGAUGCCUGCAGGUAUGGAAUGAGCUGAAGCAGAGCUCCAGCCUGCGGGCCGCCGUGCUCGCGGAGGUGGAGAAGAGUGUCACCUUGAACUCCAACAGCGACAAGCGGCCAAAGGACACAAAGCAAAUCCUGGAUGACCUCAACCGCGAGCUUAAGUAAGUGCCGCGCUGGACGGGGGGACUGGCUGGCGGGGGGGGGGGGGGGGGCUAGACCGACGUGCUGGAGGGUGGAAGAGGCACACACGCAGGUCGGGACUUGGGGCACGGGAUGGGCGAACCAGCCAGCCUUAUGCACUCUUACCCGUGUGCCAGCGGCCGUAGUGUUGCGUUCGAGGGAUCAACACAAAAUCGACUGCAUCCCCUUGGUCUGGCGUGUGCAUGUGGUGACGAUGCCCCACGCCUCGCACUCCGUGUAGGAGCAAGCUGAACGACAUCGCCAGCAAAACGGCGUGGGACAUCAUCGCCAGCAGCACGGACAGCCAGGUGUCCAAGGACCUGGAGCGCAAGGUGCGGAGACUGGGGCCGCGGGGGCUGCUGCGGCAGUUACGGAUGGAGCGGGAACACAGCAGAGCUGGUCUAUGUGGACUAGCCAGCGUGCCCACUGACGACUGUGACGGGUUGGCAAGGUCAAAUGUUGCCAAGGUCAAACGUUUCCCCAUCACCCAUGUGUUGCUGUCGCCUGCUGCUCGCCAGGUGCACGAGGCGAUGAACCGGAUGGCGGAGGAGCGCGAGCUGCAGCAGCAACAACAGCAGAAGCAAAGCGAGGCUGCGCCUCUCACAUCCACGCCGGCUGCGGGACCAGCACGGCAGUCCUCAUUGGCCGCGGCGGAGGCGCUGGGACUGGGUGGCGCCACGACCUCCACCGUGACCACUGCCUUCCUGCCGCCCGCGAGGCCACUCGGGGCGGCGCCCGUGACGGCAUCGCUUGCGCCCGCCACACAGGCGCGCGACUCGCAGCAGCAGCCACAGCCACAGCAGCGACAGGCGCCCCGCUAUGGUCUAGUUGGGAACUCAUAGCCCGCACUCGUGGGCGUGCGUCGGCGAGGUGGCAAACCCUUGGGCGGGCGAGUGCUGUGCAUAGGUCGCAUUGCUCCACGGGGUUGGAACGUCGGAGCUGCAUGUCCGCGGGAGGGAGUGGGCGCGUAACGGAAGCUUCAGGUUGUGCGUUCUGAUACUUGCUAUAGACGAGUCCACGAGAGUGCAGUACGUGCACGUGCCUGAUACCGGUACCAUAAGGCCUCUAUAGAGCAGGUGGCUGGUAGGCAGGUCCGCUGCGAUGAGCCUGUGGCGGCCUUAGGGGAUUGUACUCAUACAUUAGGUUACGAGACUUUUCCCAGACCCCAACACUCAACAAUCAAGUUGCAACAGGAAGGCAUGAGCGCGCGGCUGGUCGAACGCGCGAGUAACUGUACCGACGAGUGCUUGCUGGCAGGCUGGUAGUACGGUAUGCUGGCGGCGCAUUGCAGGGCUUGUCAUCACGGAUGUCCCUGACGGGUUUCACACGGCAAUCAUCGCGCCGGCGUGCUCGGAGGACUGAAGAGUGGAGAGGAACGUCGUCACAUAACGCAUGAUGACUCUGGCUGCUGACGACGGCCAGGAAUGAACGAUAAGCGACGGUACAAUGGAGAACCAGGGCAUUGAACCCCUCAGGAUUUACUCACUUGUAAACUGUAAUCCUUAGCCCCCAGACGACGGCAAAGCAGCAGACACAUCACACGAGUCUGGCUUGUGGCAGCGUCCACGCUGGAUGGCUGCCCCCCCCCGGCAACGAGGCGUUUAGCUACGGGUUUGGCAUGGGCAUGGCCGAACGGGCACACAUACAUUGCCCCAUCUGGCUCCUCACUAUUGCCCCAGCCGAGCUUGCUGCCUCCUGGUCCCCUUACACUCUCGUGCCGCUCGUUGUCAUGCACCUGCCGUGUAGGCCGGCACACCUGCCUGGCCCCCGGCCCUGACAACACGUGUGAGAUGAUUCAGCCUGACCACCAACACCCCACAAAUCAUUUACGCCCAACAGUGCUUUCCGCCGUCGCUUUCCAGCCGCAGUCUUCAGUACAGCUGGUCCGGGAUGAGCACCUGCAGCCGCGGACAGAAGCCCGCGUCAGUUGCAGAGGCUCGCCGGUGGGAGUUUGAAAGGUGCGCAGCCACCAAAAAAGCAGCGCAACUGGGAACGCCGCUACAAAUCACAAGCAGCAUGACGCCAUGCAGACGUGGGUCGCUGCACCACGCCGUCCUCAUGACUCCUAUUCACCCGACCCACCCACACACACACCCACACACCCACCCAGCCACCCACCCACCCACCACCCCGUCGCAACCCCCUGACCAACCAUGUGCAUGUCUCUGGCCGUCUCCUCCAGGCUGAGUGUUUCAAAGUCGCCUGUGCUGUAUAACACUCGCGCCUCCCGCUGCGCUGCAUACACCUCCUGCGAACGCGGCACAGGAGCAGGGCGGGUUGUCGCGUGGGCGUGAGCAUGCGCAAUGCAACCCAACGCGUGGGCUUUCGGAGUAGACGGCAUCCCUACCGGUAUCCUACAUGGUAACACCCCCCCUUUUCGUGUCUGCGGUUUCUUACUGGGAUUGUCCAAACCCCCUGUCCAAGUCCAAACCCCCUGCCCACCUGGAUCUCGAUGAGGUACCACAGGUUGUCAUCUGGCCAGAACAGCUCCGCGUGCCGCCCCACCAGCCCGUCCCCAAUGUCCUCCAGCAUCAGGUAGCGCACGUUGCCGCCCGUGCUGGCCUGGGGACGACUGGAGGAGGCCUUGUAGCCUGGGAAAAAAGAGGCGGGUGAGCGCGUUGCAGGGGCGAGGAGCGUCAGUUGAGGUCAGCGCGAGCCUAGCUGAUAGGAGUGACGAAGCGCGAGCGAACGAGUGCAGCGGAGCAGGUGGGUCCACGUUCGCUCCAGCGCUGAGUUGGCCCUGCUCAAACCAAUGCACACCAAAGCUAGUGCCAGGACAGACCAGAUCAGCCCGCCGCAGCUGCUCUCCAUAACCGCUUCAGCAAGUCAGUCAUUCCCCAUCCGCACUUCGCCGCUCACCUGCUGGCGGCGGGCGCAUGAAGGGCACUGGGUUGUUGGCCUCCGCCGCCGCCCCCGGCUCCUCGUAGGCGGGCAGCGCCUCGAUCUGGUACUCCUCGAAUGUGGAUGGCUGAGCAAGAGGCGGUGCCGGGCCAUGUGAGGGGUGUGAGAGGGCAGGGUAAGAGUUCGUGCUAGGUGGUGGGCGGUAGCAGCCCGAGUGCUGUGACGUACGGUGCGUGGAGCAUGUGCAUGAGUGGCAUCCCCAUACAUCCGCACUAACAUCAUGAUAGCGGGUUACCCCCAGGCCAGUGCCCUGAUUUCCAUCCCUGUUUUUGCUGGCAACCCACGGUCACGCUGACUCAGAAUGCUGCCGCGCCGCCCACACUCCCGCCGUUUCCGCCCUACCCCUGCCAACAGACUCCGUUCGCACCUGUGAGUUGAGCGGCAUGGAUGCCGCUGCCGCCUUCUUCUUAACCUGCUGCCCGGCUGGGGUGGGCGCCCCGCCUCCCCCGCCGCCGUCCUCGUCUCGCGGCCGCUUGCCCUUGCUGGCCACGUUGGCCGCCGCUGCCGCCUUCUUGGGCGCCGCAGCAGGCGCGGCCGCGGGCGGCGGCGGCAGCGAUAGCUCCUGCUGCAGCGACAUGUUGAACUCGUCCAGUCGGGGCGUCUUGCCGCGGCCCGUGUCCAGAGUAAAGUCCUGCAGGUAGUCCAGACCGCCGUCCGGGUUGUUCUUGCGCAACUCCUUCUCCAGGUCGUCCGUCACGCGCUCCAGCUCCAGUGCGUGCAUCUCAAGCAGGUCGUGCGCCUGCUGCGCCAGCUGCACCUUUUCAUCCGCGAACUGCAACAGCAGCUUCUGGCUGGCGGCCACCCGGUUGAGCACCUCGUCAUACUCGGGGCCGGGCUGCUGGUAGGCUGGGGGCAGGCUGACCAGCGCGCUGGUGUUGGCCUGCACCUCAGCUGACAGGUCGUUGCACUUCUCAUCUAGCGCUUUAAUGGUGUUUAGAAUACGCUGUAGCUCCGUCGGUAGCGUGCCUGUGCUCUCCACGAAAGACUCCAGAUACAUGACGUUCGCUGAAUUGUGAAGUGCCAUGACGCACGGCUGUAUAACGAGCCUAGUAAAGCUAAUAGGUGCGGUAACAAGGUGCGCAAAGACUAAAGCUCGGGGGCCCGGUCAAAACUUGCUGCCCAGCGCGUCACAUCUUAAUGGCCAUGCAAAAGACGCAUAGUAUGCAGCGUGUUAGUAGUCGUGUCAAGUCGUGUCAGUGCCCAGCGCGGGAAAAGGAUCAAACCUUGUCCAAAACCAGCUAAGCUGACAACAAUCACGAAUAAGCUAAUGCGUCUUUAGCGAUAAGCAACAAGCGGAAUGAAAGGCGGACAUUGCGAUUGUAUGCGGCAUGCGCUGGGGCCUGCUGCCUCUGCUGUAAACUGCAGUACUCUACCCUACUGCCUAUGUCAUUUAACCAGUACAGAUGUCCUUACAAAUAGUAUUAAGGGACCUCGACGAAUCGAAACCUGCACUUGCACGACUCGCAAUUCUCGGCUAGGCUUGCUCGAGAGCCAGGACCCAUAUGGAUAGGAGCGGCUUCACCCGGAGGCAUGGCCAAUCAUGCUUGCUAGGGCAGUGGACUGGCAGCUGUAGACCAAACUCUGUCGUGUGCCAGGCGGGUAGGCAAGCGGCGAGCCGCCGUGUCUGCCCCGUCAGCGCGUGGCCGCAGUGCGCAAGCAGCUUGCGUCAGCGUUCUGGCUGCGCUGCUUCCGGCCCUGUGCACACGCACCAUGAAGCUGCCAGCUGGUCGGCAAGCGGCCCCAGCGUCAUCGGCGCUGGCGCCAGCAGCGAUGGCGACGCGCAGACCAGCUCCUCCCCGGCGGCAGGGGCAGCAGCUGACUCGCCGCCGGCGCAGUGGCAUGACGGUGACGUUCUGGAGCUGACCCUGGCAGACGGCCGCAGCGUAUAUGCGGAGGUGGAGGUGCCGGGCGCAGGGGCAGGGGCAGUUACUGCAUCUGUGUCAGGUACGGGAGCAGGUGGGGGCCGUGGAAGCUCAGCACAAGGACGUCAGCGCCAGCAGCAACAGCAGCAGGCACGGCGGUCAGGACGGCACCCACCUGCACCACCACCCGCAGUGGCGGCUGUGGCAGGAGCCAGCGCCCCCGCCAACUUCUCACCCCAUGUCAUAUGUAAUGGCGCCCGAUACAAACUGGAGGCGCACGAGGGCCAGGCUGCGUGGGUGCUGCGGGCAACGUCAGGUGCGCGUCGUUUGUUUAGGCCUACAGGAUUGCCCCUGCAUGUUCGUAAAGAGAUCUAAUCGGGCUUCAGCAGCAAUUCAUGACGUUUGGUACCGUAUCCGCUGCUGUUGCGCUUCACCUCCCCUUGCGCGCCUGUUCAAUACUGCCCUCCCGGCUGCAGGCGCGCUUGCGGCCGGGGACCCCCUGUUGGCCCUGAUGGCCACACCGCCCAAGCCACACACUGCCGCGCUGCGGGCGUGGGCGCCGCUGGCGUCUCAGCUGCUGCGACCUCCGGCGGGAGCUGCCCCUGCAGCACCGGGCUCGGUGGACGUGACCGCGCCAUCGGCCUCCAGCUCGCCGCCAGCCCCAGGCAGGCGCGUUGCGCCUGUGGGGGCGGUGCUUGAUGGCUGUGCUGUGACGACGGUGCGGCGUGUGGGUGGACUGCAGGAGCUGCAGCAGCAGGUGGCAGACAACCCCAGUCUGUGGUGUGACGGGUCAGGUGCGCCAGCCGCUUGGAGGGUGGCUGCUGUCACGGGACCAGUAAGCUCCGUGCUUGCUGCUGCAGCAUACGGUAACGCCGGCGGGGGCCGUCCAGUGUUGCAAGCCGUCCUGCGUGCGCCGCGUAGCGCCGGGCAUUAGUGUCAAGGGCCAGUUGUGGUGUACGAAUGACACCUGCCGGAUCAAAUUUGUUUGAUAGCAGAGCACUCAGUUGCUGUAGACCUCAAACGACCUACCCCACCCGCCCUGCCGGUCCCUAGGCCCUGGCGAACCGCCCCUGACCCCCGACCAGCUGGCGCUCUACACGGCCGCCGAGCUGGCGUGCCUGGCCGCAGGGCGCCGCGGCGUGGUGCUGCUGCAGCUGCACGUGGGCUGGCAGCAGGCGGCCGCGGCGCCGCCCUACGGCCCCUUCAAGCCGCUGGUGCUGCGCCUGCUGCGCCAGCUGCUGGCCAGCCCUGGCAAGGAGCUGCAGCUGGUGUCAUUCGCCAGCGCCGCGCCGGACCCAAGCAGUCCAGGCGGCAAGUCAUCCGCGGGACUGACCAUGGUGCUGUGUGCGGACAAGGAGCCGUUCAGGUCGUGGGGCGCACACCUGGCCGGCUUUGGAUGUCAGGUGCGUGCGUGCGGGCUUUCGUGGUAAUACCGAGCCGUGUUCCUGAACCCGUUAGCCCAGCUGCCAUGUCCACCCACGGAGCCGCGGCGUUGGGGCUCGCACCCUGUCUCCUUGGCAAGCUUCCUCUUUGAACGCGCUCCCCAGGCCGCACUGGAGGCCCAGUCCCCCUACUACAAGGCGCUGAUUGGGCGGGUGCUGGGCUACAGCCCCGACAACAUCGCGCACCACAUCCGGGUGAGCCGCGAAGGGCGGUGGGUAGCGCAGACAGGCUGGCAGGCGUGGCCAGACCUAAAUGGACGGAUGACGGGACUGAGCCAACCCCCCUCCUCCUUGCCACUGCAGGAGAAGCACGGGGCGCCGCCUUCCUCCGAGGUACUGGCGGCGGUGGAGCGGCAGCUGGGCGCCCUCAGCACAAAGCAGCCGCAGCUGCCCUGGACGGCGGGGGCGAGGGGCAGCCGCAAGAAGGCGGCUGCAUAGCCGCAUGCCUUGUUGGGCUGAUGGCGGUUGUAAACUAUCAGAGAUUCAGAGCGCGGAUGCCGGUAGUGCACGUUACAGUUGGAAUGUCGCCAGCUGUGAAAUCUCAGGACUGAUGGCGGUAGGUCAGUAGGUGGUCGCGAUGCGGGCACAGCGGCAGCGACACAGACAGCAGGACAGCAGCCUCGUGGUUACAGCUCGACGGGAAGCAAAAGCACGAUGUCACCAUCGCGUACCCGUCUAGAUACCAGACUCAACCCAGAGCUAUCAAAUGCACCGCCUGCGUGUAUCUGCUGUAAUGCUAUCGCCUGCUUAUGGCGCCCUAGAUUGUUACGCCAGGACACCGGAAUCCAGCUAGCCGACUAUGAAUGCCGGCUGCAGUGGGUAUUGAGUUCCACCCGAGGGUAGACCUAAGGCAUCGCCAUCAAUUCAUUCAAUUGCCAUGUUCCUUAGCCAUGCUACUCACGAUACGUAGUGAGCACCGGCCAUUGGGUCACUCUAUGGUGCAUUCAAGGCCUCCUGCCUAUUGAGUUGCCUGGAGUUGCUAAAUCCGCUCCUGCCGUCUACACCAAAUCCUAGCGCGCAUGCCCCUGCUCACACCGACGGCCCAAAGUCCCGAUUCUUGAGUAUGGCCGGCGCCACCACCGACCAGCCGUACAGCAGCGCACACGCCCAGCUGCUGGCCACCUUGACCCAGGUGGAGCCCCAGGAGGAGCGCGUGUCGGGCGUGAAGCCGGGCGAGAAGUGUGACACCUGCCAGUUGGUGAACAGCAUGGCGAUGUAGGCGGAGCUCCUGCGGGCGCGCGUGUGUGCGCGGACGUGCAAAACCCAAGGGGCAUCAGUCUAGGAAGCACGUGCUGGCGAUACACCGCAAUUGGAGUGAGCGCGGAACGUGAUACGCACGCGUUCAGUGCAGGGCCCGGGGGGUGACGGGCUUUAUGUUCGGUGUUCUGAGGCGGCCAGGAGCAGUGCAGGCUGUUCAGGUGCACGCUGCCGCGGGGUCUCACGUGCAGAACACCACGUGGAAGAAGUCUGGGCGGUAGGGCAGCUCCGCCUCGUCGCCGCCCUUGACCCCGAACAUGUCCUUGCUGGAGAUACCUGGGGGUAGAGGUGGAGGCAAGAGGGGGAUGGGUUGACGUUUGGCAACCGGCGCGUUGAGGGAACGGCUGCGUGACAGCCGAAACAGUGUGUCGUGAGGUAGCGACAGACGUGUGUCUGCAGCGGCCAACAGCGCGCAGCAGACGCUGCAUGCAGGACUAGGCAGGUCUAGGCGGGCCGCGUACGUAUGAUGCAUCUGAGGCGGGUCGGUUAGGCGGCGCCCCCACAUGGGGAGGCGCCCCCUGGCAUUACAUGCAACUCCCCCCCCCCCCUUGUGGCCCGCCGCGCACCCACCUGCCGAGUAGGUGGAGUACAUGACUGCAGCCAGAGCGAUGAAGAACGCGACCACACCCACCCAGCCCGCGCUCACGCCGCCGGACCGGGCGCAGUCGCUGGGCACGGGCUCGGACGCCAGCGCUGAGUAGAUGAGGUAGGAGCAGUAGAGCCACACGCAGCCGCUGGUGAGCAGGCCCGCGGAGGCCGCCCGGCCAGGGAUGAACAGGACGCCCACCAGCGCCAGACCAAUGAUGAGGUUCCACGUCACGAAGAAGAUGUUCUUGGAGGAUGGGGGGAGGCAUGGGAGUGAGGCAAGGUUCUUGACGAGCACGGGAAGGAGCACAGAUUCCGUUCUUAGGUCAAAGCGCCGGGCGCUUACGAGGCGCGUACUUAGCACGAAACCUAGUGUGCAUGUACACGUGCCGGUACGCCGUAUGCGAGGACAGUGAAUGCUCCAGCACGGUGGGGAGGCAAGUAUGCACAAACGCAAGGCGCCCAUCACCACCAAAACCCGAGUCGUGGACACCACUCACUAGGGAGCAUGAUGCGCGGGGCGCAUAGAAGUGGUAGUCUAUGCCGGUGAGGACCUGAACAGGGGGAAGGAGGUGAGGGGUAGGUGAGUGGCGUUGAGAGCCUGAGGCAUGGGCCACAUGCGCAUGAGGUCUACCGGCACAGGCCCCUUUCCUCCUGUGCACGGCACCCGGCGGUGAACAUUUGGGCCCCUGACCCACUCGUGCAGGUCCCGGCAACCUCCCUCCCCCCCCCGCCGCGCUCACCAGUCCCAGGCAGAAGGCCGCCACUGCCCCGCUAAUGAGCACCGCCCAGGCCGCCUUGUUGUCCGUAUCCACAAGCCAUUCGUUGAUCUGCAAGGCCGCGCAAGGCCAUGCGCAGCAAGGGCAAACUAUUACAAAAGCCGGAGGAACGGUUAACGGCCAUUGCGCUUCACUGUUCUUGCCAUAGUUCCCUACCCACUCCCCACUCCCCCCACCCGAGCCCCCGCUAUCUCCACCCCUCCCCCCCACCUCGUACACGAAGUUGACCAGCAGUAUGAGCUGCAGCACCAGGAACAGCCCACUGGCGUAGCGGCUAAACUGGCCGUAGCCGUACAAGAUGGAGCUGGGCAACCACAUGAAGCCGACCAGCAGGCCCAGCCAGGACAGCACCUGCAAGUGGGAGGUGGGGUAGGUGGGCAGGCGGGCACUACGACGCAGGGCAAGCGCGAGGGGUUAUGGUGGAUGGGUACCAGACCCGAUGCCCUGAAACACCGCCCUCAUCACGUGCAUCUCGAUAAGCUCCCCUGCCCUCCGCGCACCUGCCACACCCACAGCCCUGCGUGUAGGUUCACCCGCACGUCCUCCACCCUCGUCAGGGCAACGCAAGCCAGGAGGUGUGCCCCGAAGAACACCAGGUUCGCCAGAGACACACGCAGAGCCACCUGAGGCCGGAGCGCAGGAGCGAGCGACACCAAAUGGACAAGGCAAGGUGCUGAGUUGUACUAUACAUGGCCCCGCAGCCACAUUGUCAGACAGAUAGGAUUAGCCUGCGCGCCCCCCAGUUCGCUAAUGCCACCCACACUACACCCCCACCACCACCACCACCACUACCUCCACCCGUCACCCACACACCUGCUGGCCCGCGCACUCCUCGACGGCGUCUUGGUUGUCAGCCUGAGGCAUCAGGCCCGGAGUAAGGUGAGGCAUGUGUUGGGUGGCGGUUUUCGUUCAUCAUGCGCGUCGUAAUGCUCGGCUUAUGCACUGGCCCGUCACCAGGAGUCAGGGGCUAGGUACCCGACCGCGCCCCAGCCCAGCCCCCGGCGCUCACGGCUCACCGACAGGCAGUCACUGAACGAGCUGAUGUUGUUGGCCAUGAAGCCGCCGCCGUAGUCCCUCAGACACCACACCUGAGCGUGGGUGCAUGCCGGCGUGCGUGGCGUGUGCGUGUUGAUGUGCAAUGCAGCCGUGCCGAGAGGUUGCGGUGCGCAAUGUGAAGUAGUACCUUGCAUCACCUCUUACCGCGAUAGCUGUCGCCGAAAAUCCAACGCAGUAGAACCAUUUGGCUGCUGUGAACCGAGUUCUCAAGCCCACGUCCCAGGCAUUGCAGCAGAACAACGCCCGGCACAUGCUGCCCGCUGCCUGCCUGCUGAGUCCGCUACCUGCUACCUGCUACCCGCGGCAAGUCGUCCACGCUCUGAGUGCCACCGGCUGGUAAGGCGCCUGGGCUGUUGUGGUCACGAUUGUCUCUGUGCGAGGCGUUGGGCGGGAUACGUAACUGGACGGGUGCAGGUUCCCCAGCAGGUCCUGUCCCGCAGGGUCGGCAGCGGCGCUACCAGGCAGCGGGUACCUACUAAUCGUUACCUUCAGACGUGGCUGAGGGUGCGAGUAUGUAACACAAGUAUCAAGUAUAGCAGAUAUAAACAGUAGAGGCCCAAGCUACUUGCAAAAGGCUUCCGCUGUCUGCAGCUGCACUCCAGGACCGCGCCAAAAUGAAACAAAGUCUGAAUGCUUUGUAAGCUAUCAAUAGCGUUUUCUCAUGGAUUGGACGCUCGCGGACGCCCAGUUUGGAAAGGCCAAGACUCGUCCGACCAGUUGAAGCCGAGAAUGCGUUUCUUGUAUAAUCACAAAGAAGCAAGAAUGUUGUGCAGAUAGGGAAUAUUGAGUGAUGCAUGGUAAGCGAUCCGAGCUGCGUCAGUGGUAUACGAUCAAACAAGGGAAACUGCGGGGAGCCGUGUCUUGUGUCCACCACGGUCCACCAGCCCGACCCCCCCGCCUCCAUUCUGACCCUGGUAAUGGUCCUGACACUCGACAUCUAGCUGCCCAAUUCAGCUCACACCGAAUUCAUAACAUGCAAUAGCUACACCUAUUCCAGUCAAAGCUUGAUGAGCCCUUCAACUGACACAUCGGUGGGCGCCGGUGUCUCCAGGUUGGUUCUGUGGCCCAGCGUGUUUUCCGGUGCCUCCAGCGCCUACCCGCCAGCCGUCCGCCAGCCCAGCCAUCACGUCGACCAGCGUCUACGCAGUUUGCCAGCGGCGGCCCUCGUCAGCCCUCUGUGUUCAUCGUCCAUUUCGUCUGCGCUACUUGCGGUUGACAACCUUUUCCAUCAUCCUGCGUCCUACUGGUUGGGCUCGGCCCAUAACCUCUCGACCCCGCCCAGACACAGCCUACAUCCGACUUCAAGGGGGGUCGCUCACGAGGGCACCAGGCGCGACAGUAGCGUGUAUGUUCCUCCCGCCACCAGCAGUACCCCGCUGGCCGGAGUCACCCAGGCCGAGUACUGCCGCAGAGCCAGGAGCUGCUUCACAGUGCCCUGAGGGAAAGAAGGGACAGGACGAGGGGGCAGGGAACGAUAUGGACGCGAGCAAAAUGAAAGAAACGGGGACUAGACAGGGGGCGCAAGACGGGGGCGUGUAUUCGUGCUGUAUGUGUACCUGCAUGUAACACUGCGCCUUCUCGUAGCUCCACCUUCAUGCCGCCGCACCACUAACGCACCGCUGCCGAUCAGGUGUAACCCAGACACCAGCGCACAUCCCGAAUUCUCAACCAAGAAGCAGCCUCAUCCACCCUGCAAUCCUUAUGUCCUCUAUCUCUGCCCUCUGCGCCUUCUCCCUCAGCGCACGCACCGUGAACGAGGCCGCCAGCAGCAGGGGCGCCACGUAGCCGCACGUGUAAGCCAGCAGCAGGCUGCCGCCUUCCAGCGGGUCGCGGGUGGACGACACGUACGCCAGAAGCGUGGCUAGAACCGGUGUGCUGUUGAGGGGAAUGGAGUGUUCGGAUCGCUUGCGCCAUGACAAAUAACAAUUAGAUGCGACUCAGGUGGGGUGCUAGUGGUUACUGGGAUGUAUGGAGGGAAAUGCAAGCGUCGCGAGAGGCGUAGUGCGACUCAUUCAGACGUAAGCACUGCUCAAGCUGACGAUGAAAGGGCUACAAGUCCCGCACAUGCGCCACACGCGCACAUAAUGCACAUGCAAGCCAAGCCCGCUCAUACGCCCACCCACCUGCACGGAGAUGCCGCCAGUGCGAAUGUGGCGCCCGCCAGGUACGCCUGCAGCGCUGGGGGCACUGGGGCCUUGCGCACGUCCACAUCCGGCAUCAGCGAGGGCAGCUGCAGCUGCACCACCUCCAGCAGGUUCAGCCCCAUCAGCACCGCCACCAGCCCCACCGCGAUGGGCAGCUCGUUGCCGAUCUGGCCGUAGGCGCGGCCCAGGAAGGAGCUGACCACGCCCAGCACCGCUAGCGUGGUGGCCAGGCCGAACGAGAACGACACGGCCUGCAAGUGAAGGGCCAGUCAUUGAGACUAUGUGAUGCCCCUGGCGCGCUGUCAGGACCCGUGCAUCCCAUCCACCCGAUACUGGCAACUGCUUUUAUAGCUCACCUGCAGUCCCAGGUUGGGCUUGCUGGCACCAUUGCCGUUGUCGUCCUGGCUAUACCCGCCGAUGUACCCGAUGGUCAGGGGCAACACGCUGAGCGUGCAAGGCGACAGGCUCGUCACCAGACCCGCACCCAGCACUGCCAGGUAUGUCAACGGCGUGACACCUGCGUGUUCAAAAUCCAAGCGCGCUUUAGCGAGCUGGCCCCAGCGACGUCUGCCACACACGACGCACCAGUGAGUUGCUGCGACACCAGCGCAUCGGCGCUUUGCCCUGCAGCGAAAAGCCCUUGUACCAGAUCCUGGGCUUGGUCAGAUAGUUCAUACAGUUCCUGGGGCAGCAACGAAACAGCAAAUUAUCAUCCAUCAGAAUCUCUUUGUGUAUUCCGGCCUCGACUGCUGCUUACCUGGCCGGACACCGCACGCAGCUGACGUUUUAGCGAUUUUGAGCUAGCGACGCGUACAGGACAUGGCUUGAACAGUGCCAGCUGACGACUAGGCAGCGCGUACAAGUUGGUGUGGCACUGAGGCUGCGCUAAAUGCAUGGCGGUUCGCAUAAUGUUUGCAGUGAGAUUGAAAUGCUGAGCUGUAUAAACAAAUCCAGCUGAAGCCUUGGCAAGGCAGGCUGCAUUUUGGCUGCUGUGUGCUGCAUUGGCUGCGGUAGACUCUCCACCCCCCAACCCCCAAUCCGGCGCCCGCCCCGCCUCCACGCAAACCAUGAAACACGCAACAUCCGUCGCAAUUCACACUCCACGCACCAACAACACGUCAACAACUGCGCAAACUUGUAACACGCGCCCCGAGCCUCGCCCCCCCACACACCCACACAAACGCCAGCUACAAAUGGCCAAGCCCCAAACUGGGAUGCAAGUACACAUACGAAAUUAAUCAGGUAGGGUUGAAGAGCUAGUCCGCGACACGAUGGCCCCCCCCAUCAGCCGACGCCCGUGGAGCGAUGAGAGAGCUCACCCUGCGCUUGCACCACCGCACACGCGCCAACCAACGGCGAAAUGGCCGCGCAUUUGCACAGUGAAAGCGCCAACACAUCCCCGGACUAGCCCGCCAACAAGCUUCGCCCGCAGUCGGUUGCAAGUGCCUGGCGAACCUCCAAAUCCCAAACUGACCCACGCCCCGCCGAAGCACGCCAUAUCUGCACACUGCGCGGCGCGUAACACCGCGCAAGCGCACCCGAAGCCCAUUGAGGUGCCCAUCCGUGCAACCCGUCCCUGCCGGCGCCUAAACUUGUCCGCCCGCCCACCCACCCACACGCCCGCAAACCACCACAGCACACCACGUUGAGCACUCCAACUGCACGCACGCGCUCUGUACAACCACCAGCACAAUCCCCGAGCCCCCAAGUCGGACGGGGCCUGUGAGGCAGCCUCCCGCCUCGCCCCACAAGCCCACAGCCACGCCUCCCCACAACCCCACUCACCCGACCUGCUCGCCGGGGCCGCUCGCCUGCGCUGACCAACUGCUUUGGCUGCUCCAGGCUGCCGAAGCCAGCCCUCCCGCCCCAACUGCUGAAUUCGCUGCUGCAUCCAUGAGGCACAUAGAGAGGCAAUAGUGUGGACAUUUCUCUCGUUACAAUCCCUUCACCACCCGGCUGCACCGGCCGCACACGCUCCACAGCGCCAGCACGCCCGUCCAAAACGCGCGAACUGAACGUUCGCCGCAUAGCUCCAGCCGCCAACUCAGCUGCAUCGCAUGCGGCGGCCGCCAGUUCCACGCCCAGAGCUCCACUCCAGCUUGCUACAGGCCGCUUACUCCUCGUCCUCAGCCUCGUUGUCGGCAAUGUUGAAGUACCGGAGCUCGUAGACGUUGCGGUCCUUGUUGGAAGCAAUGACGCGCAGCCAGUCGCGCACGUUGUGCUUCUUCAGGUACUUCUUGGUGAGGUACUUCAGGUAGCGCUUGCUCAGCUGGGACUCAGCAGUCACGGUGACCUUGGUCUUCUCCUUGGCCACCUUGAUAGAGUCGCCCAGCACGCCGGUCUUGCCGUCCACCUUGAUCUUGUCCAUCAGGAACUUCUCAAACGAGGAGAUGUCCAUAAUCUUGUCCUCCACCGGCUUGGAGCAGUCGAUGGUGAAGACCAGGGCCUUCUUCUUCGCCGCGCCCUUGGCGGCCGGCUUCUUAACACCCACGGCCAUUUUUUUGAGCUAGCGGCCUAAAAAGCACGAGAGAGAGGAAGGUAAAUGGUCGCAAACUGACUAUACAGGGCCUUCGCGAGCGGCGGAAUGGGCCGGCGCCGAUUCCGUUAAUUUCCUAGGGCCCGAGUUAUUUGGCAAGGCUAAUUCUCUGGGUUCCAUGCAUCACAAGUUGAGCCUGUACAUAAACCAGGGGCAUGACACCGUCGUGACAACGCCAGCCGAGGCCUUUUAACGCACCGACCCCAGCCUCCUCGAGCUUGUAAUCAACGGCCUUGAGCCUGCAUUAAUGUUUCUUAGUCUAGUGUAGCAAACAAUGCCUUCGGGACUGGUUAUAGUCACUGUGCCCCACACGCGCAGACACCCACACGGCAGUGUGUCCCUGCACUCAAUGUGUCGCUUGUGCGCUGGCAGCGUUUUGCAACUGCGGCAAUAUGGGGCGAGAAACUGUUGUCUCAUUAUGGUACAACUGAAUGUGACUUUGGCAGCGUGAAAGAGGAUGCGUGUCUGCGGCGGGCUGGCGCCGGGCAAUCAUGGGUGGGACUACCGCUCGUUACCGGCGCAGCCGCGCGGCUUGUUCGCUGUGGCUGCCUUCACUGCCACCGCCAGCCUCACACAUCCUACCUUAUGAAGCUGGCGGUAUGGGAGCGCUACGCUUAUGCAUGCUGGGACGCACGUGCGCACGUGCACAACUAGCUGCACUACGGUAUUAGCAGAGACUUUGGGUUGCGACCAGAAGGCACGCUCAGGGUGUACAGCCAUGGUGUACACAGCUCUGAGGUGUACGGCUGGCACGGGGUUCGUGCAGGCGUUUGAGAUGCGCCGUGUGCGGUCUGCCGUGCCGCAUUGAGGAGUGCCGGUGGACUACCCAGCGCAGCUGGUCGACCUCAAGGCGCUGCAGGAUGAUCUGACCAACACCAAAAACCGCACCGAACAGUGGAAGCCCUCAAACGGGUGUACACGUGGACGAGAGAGUGGUUACAGUGUCCUCCACGGGUGCGCACCCCCUCCCUCCCCCCCCCACCCACCCCCUCCCUCUCCCCCCCCCCCCACACACCCCCCGCAGACCGGUGGGCACCAGAUGUCCGAGGCCGCACACUGAUGGAGGCUGCAUGCUGGUGGAGGGACAUGGCUUGGGAGUGCAGAGCGCUGACACGGCGGUGGGGUAGAUAGAGGGACAUGGCGUCCUUAAUUUGUCCAUGCGUGGCUCACAGAACCCAAGACUCAAAUGCUCCAAUGGGGAUCAAAUGCCUAACACGUUCAACGGCACUUCAUGGACGCAUUACGUUGUUCUAUUGGCGAUCAACACACUGUGUCGGUGUCGCGCGAUGGCAGUUAUUUACGGCGUAGAUAUGCCGCGCCCCUUUGUUUAGAAGCGGGCACGGGCCCUGGGCCCAGCGGCAGUGGUGGCGCGCAUGUUCGGAGCAGAGGGGGCGGGCAAGGCCACGUGGAGGAGGACAGCGCGGCGCCGCCUUCAAAGCGGCGCCGGCGCGUAGGUUGAGACCUGCCGGUGUUGUCUGGUUAGCGACCUGUGCUGACGAGCAUGGCGUAGCGGGCAGUCGGCUGCAGCGGCAGGGGUGUUGAGAGGUUUUCCUUGCUGUCUGGUUGGCCUGCUGCCUGCUGCACUAGUGCUUGAUUGCUGGGCGCGACUGGGCACAUGGCGGGCGGUGCCUGCACAAACCGAACCCGGCUACGUCCGGGAGAUGAGGUUGUUCGUGGGCUCAGCCCACUUUUCCCUUGCAAGGGAGAGCCACCUUUUCUUGUUUAGAAACGGGUAAAGACAUGUUGGUUGGAUGUAACCCGUGAGAUGUAACCUCUGCCGGUACCCAUCGUGGCUUGCGGAUCGAGCACAGCUGCACCCUUCCUGACAGACACAGAUUAUAACUGUUUUCCUUGGCUUUCUUACUGAGUGAACAUGAAAUCCAGCUAGCGUGACACUGCUUUUAAUUCUAAAACAAUUGCGAUCGACCGAUUGUCACAAACACAGUGCAGCUUGAGCCGUCCACACAAUGGCGCUUGCGCCUCGUGUUUCAGUGCUUAUCGCUGCCCUAGCGUUGGCGGUGGUGUGCGCAGCGGAGGAUGCCGAACUUGUGAAGUCCCACCUGAAGUCCUCAACGUCUGUUCUGUUCUUUGACGAUUUCGACGGAUCCGACUGGAGCGAACGGUGGAAACACUCCACCGCCGACAAGUACACGGGGCGCUUCACGACCGCCCAGGCAAGCAGGGGCGCGCGUGGUGCACAACCCCAACCGUGCACACAGUGUGUUGACCGGUUCAAGAGGUCCAUCGCCAUCCCUUACGCCCCAUACACACAUGAUGUAACUCUGCAACGCUGUCACCCGCAGGCCAAGGACUGGACUGACGCGGGGCUGAAGGUGGGUUGGCCCCGACGGGUGAACAAGCAGGUUAACUAGCAGCUGGACCGCCAGCACAGCCCUUCGCCCCUGCCGUCACUCGUCCACUGCCCGCACCGCCACCCUGUGCAGGUGCCGGAGAAGAACAAGCACUACGGCGUGGUCGCACUGCUGGCUGCGCCCGUAGAGCCGGUGGUGGGGCCGGGUGCGCCGCUGGUGGUGCAGUAUGAGGUCAAGUACAGGUGGGGGCGAGGGCAGCAGGAGGGCGGCGGGGGGUCGCUGGGUCAGGGCCGACAGGGCCAGUUACUGACAUGGCAGAAGCGCGAGCCAGAACUGUGGCCGGGGCUGUUGGGGUGGGAGCCGGACACACUGGGCCGAUACAUUGCGCUUGGCGCGGGCGGAGCAAGGCCACGCAGGGGGACGUGCGCUGGUGGUCAGUGCGCUUCGCAUGUGACCACACUGUUCCUGCUCUGGCCUCCCUCUGCGCGCCCUUUCACCCUCAGCGAGGGCGUGACCUGUGGCGGCGCCUACCUCAAGCUGCUGUCUGCCGACUCCGCCCUGGCGCCCGAGGGCCUAGUGGACUCCACCCCCUACUCCAUCAUGUUCGGACCCGACAAGUGCGGAGGGCCCGGCAAGGUGCGGCCGAGGGCAGGCGGAGAUGUGGGCCUAAGCCGUGGCGAAGGGCCUGCAAGCAGCACGAUGGUGGCAGGUGGAAGCCGUUUGUGCACUUACUCGGUGUUGAGAUUUCAGAGCCUGGCCGCGCUCAGUAUACUGCUCCCGUUCUUGCACCCACUUUACGCUGCCUCCUUGCAUCGCAACUCCAGGUUCACCUCAUCCUGCGCGCCCGCAACCCCGGCAACGGCACCAUCACUGAGCGCCACCUGGCCUCACCGCCCGUGCCCGACGCCUCCGACUAUACCCACACCUACACGCUCAAGAUCAGGUGUGAGGUGUGGGAGGGAGGGGCGUGGGAGGCGGGCGCAGGCACUAGGCUGCAGUUUUAGCCAUGUAGUCGUUGAGGAGCUCUGGGGGCAACGAUCUGGUGGUGUUGGUGCUGGUAGGGGUGAUGUGCCCGAGUCCAGGGGGCAUGUGUGUAUGCUUGAAGUCUGCUCUAAUUCCAAACGUGCACGACUGGAGCAUGCCUGGCCCGCCCACCUCCAUAGUCCGGACCACAAGUAUGAGAUCUCCAUUGACGGCGAGGUCAAGUCCAGUGGCGACCUGCUGGCGGAGGGUGUGGUGGCGCCGCCGCUGCGGCCGCCGCGCGAGGUGCCGGACCCCGAGGACACGAAGCCCGCCGACUGGGUGGACCUGGCCGUGUGAGUGCCGGCUAGCCCCGAGGCGACCUGGCGGGCGGGGUAGUGCCGGGCAAGUGGACACGGGAAAGUCCGCGGCGGAUGGUCAAGGCGACCCCGUUGUUGCUGGCCCUUAGCUGCUAGCCUAGCUGCUCUUGAAAGUUCACACGGGUCCAUUGCACCUCCGCCAACGAGCCUUGAACCAUUCCUCCCCUGACUGUGCAGUAUCCCUGACCCCAACGCCACCAAGCCGGCUGACUGGGACGACAGGGAGAAGGUGGAGGACGAGGCGGCGACCAAGCCGCGAGGUGGGUUUGAGGCCAUGAACAGAGGCCUGCGGGUGGGUUUGUGGCACGUGUGGUGGAUGCCCGGCACCGACGCUGUACACCAUGCACACGUGACAGCAUACCAGGGUGUACCUGCCCCACUGCCUUUUGGCUGCUUCAGCAUUCAAAGCUUAUCAUGGCCUCCCCGCUGGCAGGCUGGCUGGACAACGAGUCACCAAUGAUUGAUGACCCAGGUGCGAGAGGAAGGGGCUGCAACAUGAGGCUGGGUCGGGUGGUCUCAGGUGACGCGCGCAGUGAAGCUUGGAACAGCUCCACCCUG